This 54758-nucleotide long non-coding RNA is filed under the name Gossypium barbadense (sea-island cotton). RNAcentral describes it as "long non-coding RNA (GBAR_LNC004845)". The stretch from base 35402 to 35523 matches the Rfam family "MIR7504 microRNA precursor family". The record is from RNAcentral. Lineage: Eukaryota; Viridiplantae; Streptophyta; Magnoliopsida; Malvales; Malvaceae.
AAUCUACCCAAUCCCAAGGACUUUGCUUCACGCAUCUACAGCUCAGUGAAAUCUAGCCUUAAUAUCAGUCCUGAUGCAACAAUUGAAGACGAUGAUGAUGUAGAAGAAACCGAGAUAGAGUCGGAGACAAAAGAAAGUGCAGGCAAAGAUGAGUUGUAGAUUGCCUGAAACCUCGGGGAUAUAUUGCCUGAAACCUCGGGGAUAUAUACUCUUUGAGUUUGUUUUACCCUCUGUAGACAUUCACGAUUGAACUGAAACAUGCAUUUUCAAGUCUGAAACUAGGAUAAAAAGAAAAUUUACGUAGUUCUUUCAUUUCGGGUGUUGAGAAGUCUCAUCGAUUUUGUCUGUGGAAUGUGUUUUUGUUGACAGUAUAUACUGGUUUGCAUGAUUAGCUUGUUUGGAAGGUAUAUUAUGGUGGCUUCUUUUUAAUUUUGAUGACGAUGAUCUGUUUUAGAAGUAAAAGAACAUUCGGUUCUACAUUUAAGAGCACUGUUCUAGGGAUGCCUAGUGCAUUAGGAGUUUCAUUAAUGAUCUUUGAUAUACGUUUGGAGAUCCACUUUGAUUUCGAGUACAUCAUACAAGGCAGUCUUUUCCGUCCCAAGAACUUGUAACACUUUACCUGGCUAAUGGGGGUUUUAGUGAUACUAUACUUCGAUAGUCUGUAGUUGUCUAACAUAUUGUCCUUUCUCAACCAACUUUUCACGACCUCCUUGAACACUCCGAUCAUGGUAGCGCAAGUUCUGUCUAUAUCAUGCCUAUUGGGUACCCAUGUAUCAUGCACUAAAACUCAAAUAGCAAAUGCUUGUCCUCAUUCCAGUGAUAAAGAGGAAGAAAAAACUUGAUUGUAUUGUGUUUUGUUAUCUUUUGAGAGCUUUUAUUACCUCUCUUGCAUCACUCAUCCAAAUGCAUGAAUGGUCAUGGCGGUCAAUAUUUGGAUAAUUGCAUGUUUUCUUUUGUUUUUCUGUGUACAUUUAAAAUCUGCGUUGAAAAUACGGAAUCAAGUAAUUUCUCACUUCUGAUUAAUGGAUUUUCACUGAGCCCAACCAUUCGAACUCCUUGAUGCCUUAUUCUGUAACGAGCUUCAUGCUAUCGUAUUUUUUCUUGCUCGCAACAAAACCCAAAAAUACAUUGAAAACUGAUUCAGACCGUAGUCUUUGGUUCAGUUUUAUUUAAUUUGGUUCGGUUGGUCAAAAUUCACAAAUUAAAAAAUUGUAAUUAUACAAGCUAAAGCGAAUCUUAUUUUUAAUUAAGUUUUUUACCUUGUAAGUGCGAUUGUAUUUAUUACAGGAUCAAUAAAUUCAAUUCAGACAGAUUUAAAUUAUAAAUACAUAGAUACAUACCUAUUGAUAGUUUUGAGGAUGUAAUAAUUUUUUAUUUAAGUAAAAUAUCAUAGAAACAAAUAUUUCCGAUAAUAGUUCAGGGACAUCCUAUGCUAAAGUCAAAUUAUAUUUUACUUUUUUUAUUUAAAAAAGUUUCUAUACAUUAGAUUUAAAAAUUAUCUAUUUUUACUAUUAAAAAUUAGUCUUUAUACUUCAAUAUGAGUUAUAUGUGAUAUGUCACAUGAUGUUGUAUGGAUAUUCUCCCAUCCAUCUUAGAUUUUAAUAUUAUAAUUAAAUGAAUUUUUAAUAAAAAUAGGGGUAGCUAAAGGGUUGGUAGGGGCCCCGAUCCCUUAAAAUAAAAAAAAUUCAUUUAAAUCUUUUAAAAUUUUAAAUUAAUAAAGAUAAAGAUUGCACUGUGACUCUCUUAUAAAUAAAAAUUCGAUUUAAUUCUUUAAAAAUAAAAAAGAUAUACUAUUAAAAUUAUAAAAUUAUAUUUUUACUAUAAUAAAAAUUAUAAUUUAAUUUUAAUUUCUAAAAAAAUUUUCACUUCACCCUAAAUAUAAGAAAUCAAUUUACUUUUUAACUUAUUAUAUAAAAACUAUUUUAAAGAUACAUUUAUUUAAUGUAUAGAAAUUGAUUUACAGAAGAGAUAGAUCCACAUGGAAAGGAGAAGGAAAACACACAGAACUGUAAGGCAAGGAUAGUAAUAAAGAACAAUCUAGAAAUCGUGAUUCAUACACCUCCAAGCAUAUUACGCGACGUUUACAGCAAAACCGAGUCGUUCGAUCGUUUGAUGAUCAUCAGGUCAAGUUGACUAAAGAGUUGAAGUCGUCCGAUAUGGGGCCUGCCUGCCCAUAACACACGGCCACGUCAAAGAAACAAAUCCAAACCAAUAAAAUCAUGCCACGUCUCAACAAACCAAAUCAUUAGCCGUUAGAUCCUCCACGCUGGCGCCAAAAACCAAUUAACAUAAUCUUUUCCAUCGCAAAAAACAUUGCUAAACUCCCCCCCACCUAUUUAAGAACUCCCAAGCCUGCACUGAAGGCAAAGCUACUAUAUUUCAAAAAAAAAAAAAAACAAAAAAAAACAAACAAAGGUAGCCUAAGCAAACUAUGAGGAAGUGGGCGAUCCCUUCCGCUUUGGUUCUUCUUUGCCUUCUCAGUCUCCUAUCAGAUCAUGGUAAGCUUACGCCACUUUUCCUUUUUAUUGUUUUUUUUUAUUUCUUGAUUGUGAAAUGCUGAAUCCAGAUCUACACUUGUUUCAGGGAGAAAAGUACAAGCAAAUGCCGAGGAAGGAGCUGUAGAUCCUCCUAAAGUCGAGGAAAAGAUCGGCGCUGUGCCUAAUGGCUUACAAACUGAUUCUGAUGUAGUUAAAAGGUUAGCAUAAUUUUUGUUUUGGAAUAUACUUUUCAUUACUUUGUUCUUUUUUGUUUACUUGAAUUUUGAAUCCGAAUGUUCUUACUAGGGAAUCGGAAUCCAUCUCUUCGAGAUCGCUUCGCAAUAAUGCGGAGAAGUUUGAGUUCCAAGCUGAAGUGUCUCGGCUUAUGGAUAUCAUUAUCAAUUCUCUUUAUAGCAACAAGGAUAUUUUCCUCAGGGAGUUGAUCUCCAAUGCUUCUGAUGUAAGUUUUAUGUCUUUCCUUUUUUGAAUUGUUUUUAGUAAUUUUUUGGAACUCGAUGUUGAAUCAUUGUUUUUAUUCUAAUUUAAGGCACUGGACAAGAUUAGGUUCCUUUCACUCACAGACAAAGAAGUUUUGGGUGAAGGCGACACUUCCAAGCUGGAUAUCCAGGUCAGUUCUUCAAACUAAAACUUUAUCUUAUUGAAAUUUAAUUACAGAGAACUCUGGUUACCACUUAAUUAGAAUGAGCCUGCUCUAUAAUGUCGUUGCUGAGCCUUAAAAAUGCAAUGAAAUUGCAGAUUAAGUUGGACAAAGAGAAGAAGAUUCUUUCCCUUCGUGACAGAGGUAUAGGAAUGACAAAAGAAGAUUUAAUCAAGAACUUGGGAACAAUUGCGAAAUCUGGAACUUCUGGUAACUAAAUCUUUAUAUUUGAUAUUGCAGAAGUAGAGUUAUGUUUCAUUAAGUAUAGAUUACAUAAACUGAAGUUAUUAUUAUUAUCUUUUUUGUGCAGCAUUCGUUGAGAAAAUGCAAUCCAGUGGAGACCUUAAUCUGAUUGGGCAGUUUGGAGUUGGGUUCUACUCUGUAUAUCUUGUAGCUGACUAUGUCGAAGUCAUUAGUAAACACAAUGAUGACAAACAGUGAGUCUUCUAGCUUCAAUGUAGUUCUUAUGGUAAUGUUUGACUGAUUGUUGAACUAUUAUUUGGUUAAUAUGUUUUACUCUUUAGGUAUGUAUGGGAAUCGAAGGCGGAUGGGGCAUUUGCAAUUUCCGAGGAUACUUGGAAUGAACCACUUGGACGUGGGACUGAGAUUAGAUUGCAUCUUAGGGAUGAAGCUCAGGAGUAUUUGGAGGAAAGCAAAUUGAAGGUUAGCAACUUGAAUUUUGCAUGUUUACAUAGCCUAUUCUUUGGGUAUGCUGAUUUUCAUUUGUGAAAUAUUUUCUAUUAUGGUACCAUCCUUUGAAAUGUUAUUUCCGUGAACUUGUAAUUUGAUGUAUUGACUUAAACUUGGCCUUUUGAAGAUAUGCUAACAAAGCAUGCUGUGUUUCUCAUCUGCAGGAGUUGGUGAAGAAAUAUUCUGAGUUCAUCAACUUCCCCAUCUAUAUCUGGGCAAGCAAAGAGGUUGAUGUUGAGGUGCCUGCAGAUGAAGAUGAGUCAAGUGAUGAGGAGGAAACCUGUAUGUAUUAGCUAGCCUGUUAAUGUUUAUUUAAAACUUGUCUUUUUCCUUAAUGCUGUAAGAGUAGGCAUGUUUUGAUUAACUGAUUAUAGUUUUUGGUUUCCUUCUCUUUUAUUUUCACAAACAGCCGAUAGCGGCUCUUCCGAGGAAGGAGAAGAUGAAGAUGCUGAGAAAAGUGAGGAUGAUGAUGCUGAAAAGAAAUCAAAGACAAAGAAGGUGAAGGAAACUACUUAUGAAUGGGAACUUCUGAAUGAUGUUAAAGCCAUAUGGUUGCGCAGUCCAAAGGAGGUGACAGAUGAAGAAUACACGAAAUUCUAUCACUCUCUAGCUAAGGUAAUUUUCCAUAUAUUUUCUAGCUCCAUACUACCGAAAGCAUUAUAGAGAAGUUUCUAUCACUUAUAGAUGCAUAUUUCUGCUUCUCUGCAGGACUUUAGUGAUGAGAAGCCCUUGGCCUGGAGCCACUUCACUGCUGAAGGUGAUGUCGAGUUCAAGGCCGUUUUGUUUGUGCCUUCUAAGGCUCCUCAGGAUCUAUAUGAGAGUUACUAUAACACCAAUAAAGCCAACUUGAAGUUGUAUGUUCGACGAGUUUUUAUCUCUGAAGAAUUUGAUGAGCUUUUGCCAAAGUAUCUUAGCUUCUUGAAGGUAAUAGAAGACAUUCCAAGUUAUUUUAGUUGACUUGAAUCUUCACUAAUGAGUUUUCUGAGUUGUUUUUUAUUGUUUACCUGUUGAGCAGGGUCUUGUUGAUUCUGAUACUCUGCCUCUCAAUGUGUCACGAGAGAUGCUGCAAGCCCACAGCAGUUUGAAAACAAUCAAGAAAAAACUCAUCAGGAAAGCCCUUGAUAUGAUUCGUAAAAUUGCCGAGGAGGAUCCUGAUGAGUCGAGUGGCAAAGAUGAGAAAGGUAUUGUAUAUUGAUUUCGUGUAGAAUUAAAUUUAAUUUGCUAGUACUUCACCGCCUAGACUUGGCCUACCACUAGCCUUUGACAAUGAAACUAUUCUAUUCCAACUUAUUUCUGGGUGAAUAUUGAUACUGAAUAUGAUGGGGAUGCAGAAGUGGAAACAUCUGGUGAUGAUGAUGAGAAAAAGGGACAAUACACCAAGUUCUGGAAUGAAUUUGGAAAAUCCAUUAAACUCGGCAUCAUUGAGGAUGCAACCAAUAGAAAUCGCUUGGCAAAACUCCUUCGAUUUGAGAGGUAUUUAACUUUGUAUAUGGUAUUUAGGCAUGAGCAUUGUAUUGGUAAAAUCAAGAAACCGAACUGAACUGAUUAAUUUGAUUGGUUUAAAAGCGUCAAAUUUCAGUUGUGUGUAAAACCAAACAGCAUUAUUUGGAUUAGUUUGGAUCCUGAAACUUAAAAACAAGUAUUUGGCCUUGAUUUGUUUUUCCUUUUAGUCGAGUCCAAACAGAAGCAUUCUUUGCACAUGAUAAUCACUUUUCUGCUAGUAACUAAUGAGUAAUGGUGUAUGAAUUGCAUUGCAGCACCAAGUCGGAUGGUAAAUUGACAUCACUUGAUCAGUACAUCUCAAGGAUGAAAUCCGGACAGAAAGAUAUAUUCUACAUUACAGGAACCAGCAAGGAACAAUUAGAAAAAUCUCCAUUCUUGGAGAGGCUUAAGAAGAAAAAUUAUGAGGUAACUGCUGAAGCAUUCCGAACCAACUUUUCUCAUCUGCCCUUUUACUUAAUUUAUAUCUCUUUUUCAAUCUGUGCUUGGGUUCUAAUGACCUUUGUUGUUUCCAGGUAAUUUUCUUCACUGAUCCUGUUGAUGAGUACCUGAUGCAAUACCUUAUGGAUUAUGAGGGAAAGCAGUUCCAAAAUGUAUCCAAGGAGGGCCUGAAAAUCGGGAAAGAAAAGAACAAAGAACUCAAGGAGUCAUUUAAGGAACUAACUAAAUGGUGGAAGAAUGCACUUGCUAGUGAUAAUGUUGAUGAAGUGAAGAUAAGCAACCGUUUGGACAACACUCCUUGUGUGGUUGUUACAUCAAAAUACGGAUGGAGUGCUAAUAUGGAGAAAAUCAUGCAGUCUCAAACCCUAUCUGAUUCUAGCAAGCAAGCUUACAUGCGCGGCAAGAGGAUCCUAGAGAUUAACCCAAGACACCCAAUCAUCAAGGAGCUUCGUGAGAGAGUUGCCAAGGACUCUGAGGUACCUAUCUAUAUAUGUAAACAGUAACAUGCAUGUUUGAUGAGUCGGUAUUCAGUUUUGCUUCAUUUGAUGAAAUCAUUUGGUGGAUCUUACAGGAUGAGGGUGUGAAGCAAACGGCUCAGCUUAUUUACCAGACGGCUCUAAUGGAGAGUGGUUUCAAUCUACCCGAUCCCAAGGAUUUUGCUUCACGCAUCUACAGCUCGGUGAAAUCUAGCCUAAAUAUUAGUCCCGAUGCAACAAUUGAGGAUGAUGAUGAUGAUGUAGAAGAAACCGAGACAGAAUCGGACACAAAAGACAGUGCAGUCAAAGAUGAGUUGUAGAUUGCCUGAAACCUCGGGGACAUGCCUUUUGAGUUAGUUUUACCCUCUGAUGACAAGCCGAAGGAACUGUAACAUGCAUUUUCAAGUCUGAAACUUGGAUAAAGGGAAACAUUACAAACAUUACUUAGUAGAAUAUAUGUAAACCGUAGUCGACUGUGAAAUUAAUCUGUCUGCAAUUUUUGCUCUUUUAAUGCAUCGCAGUGCUUUUAAGAUUUUCGCGUAUUAAUAUAUGGUUGUUUCGAUCUUAUUAUCUGUCAACAUGUUCAACUUCCAUUGCUUAAGAUUAUAUCUUGUAUUGUUAUGCAAUUUCAGUGGAUGAAGGGAAACCGUUUUACUUGAAAAAUGCCCCGAAUUUUCGGCUCUUAUAACUUAGCGGCCUUACUACAAUGCCAUUCUUUGAGACGGAUUUUUUUUCGUGGAUCGCAGUGAUUGAAACCCGAACCCAAACUGAAGAAUCUUUGUUAAAAAGCCACAAAAUGCUGCUACAUUAUUGGCCUUUGAAAGCGGUAUCUCCUUUGCGGCUUAACCAUAUUCUCUGUCGCUUGUGCUAAAAUGGGGAAGGUUUUGGCUUUGGACCACACUAGAAAAUUGGAAUGAAAGUGUAGACAGUAACAGUCCCUUUGUAGAUGAGAAUCUGAAUUUGCCGACUUAUCAUCACCCACAGUCUCAACCCCACUGAAGAAGGAAUCUUAAAGGCAGCUUUUUUUAAUGUUUAACACCAUAUACAACUCCAUUGCAAGCUUAAAUUAAAUCAUCAAACCACCAAGCUUGCAAUUCCAGCAAAGUGGUAUUUUUUCCUUUUCAGUGUUUGCUCAGAUUCCCAGUAAAGUAGACACUUUCUUUUGCUUCAAAUGCUUUCUUAAUCAAUUAAAAGUAAUGACUACACUUCUUCUCAUUUGUUGCUUUUGGAGUACAACUCUCUUCCAACACUAAAUCAUAAACAACCCAGAACACUAAAUAAUAGCAAUAGUAGUUCUGUUUCGUGUUAAUUCAACCCCGCAUUCUCAUGCAUUUUAAAUUUUAGAAUAUUCUAAUUCGAUCCUUGGAGUAUUAAUAUUGUAAUAAUUAGAUUUAUUUAUUAGUCAAGUAAUUAAUUUGGGUGUUAGAUAUCAGUUCGAAUCUAACAUGAAANNNNNNNNNNNNNNNNNNNNNNNNNNNNNNNNNNNNNNNNNNNNNNNNNNNNNNNNNNNNNNNNNNNNNNNNNNNNNNNNNNNNNNNNNNNNNNNNNNNNNNNNNNNNNNNNNNNNNNNNNNNNNNNNNNNNNNNNNNNNNNNNNNNNNNNNNNNNNNNNNNNNNNNNNNNNNNNNNNNNNNNNNNNNNNNNNNNNNNNNNNNNNNNNNNNNNNNNNNNNNNNNNNNNNNNNNNNNNNNNNNNNNNNNNNNNNNNNNNNNNNNNNNNNNNNNNNNNNNNNNNNNNNNNNNNNNNNNNNNNNNNNNNNNNNNNNNNNNNNNNNNNNNNNNNNNNNNNNNNNNNNNNNNNNNNNNNNNNNNNNNNNNNNNNNNNNNNNNNNNNNNNNNNNNNNNNNNNNNNNNNNNNNNNNNNNNNNNNNNNNNNNNNNNNNNNNNNNNNNNNNNNNNNNNNNNNNNNNNNNNNNNNNNNNNNNNNNNNNNNNNNNNNNNNNNNNNNNNNNNCAAACUCUUUAAAUGAAAAUAUUAAAAAAACUAUCAUAAAUUUCGAAAAAUUUAUCUUCAUAAACUAUAAAACUGACAUAUAUAAUAAUUUAAUGAUAAAGAAAAAUAUGUAUUAAUUCUUCUAGAGAUUAUAGCUUAAUUAAAAUAUAAAAUUCAUACUGAAGAAUAGGCACGAAUGGCUCAUUACUAGUCGAAAUGAGUUAUUAUUGUAUUCUAUAUAAGUUAAUUCAUUAGGAUUGGUUUUGCACAUGUUCUAAGCUGCACAUUUAUUCUAAACGUAAACCCUAUAAGUAAAAAUAUAUUUUAUGUGUGACUCCAAAAUACAAUAAAAUGUAGAGAAUUGGUUGAAUUUGGGCCGGCAUAGAAUGAUGUGAUAACCCAGUCCAGUUUCUAGACCAAAGAAAUUGACCUGCCAAAUUGCAAUGCUCGAUAAUUUUGUUGAAAAGAUAAAUUAAAAGGGGUGUUGAAAAGUCAAAAAAAAAUGGGAGGUGCAAGUGGCACCGAAAAAAAAAUGGUAGGCAAGUUGUUUAAAGUUGAAUGGGAUAAUUGCAAUUUUGGUCCCUAAUUUUUAGGUCAUUUGCAAGUUAGUCCCUGAACCUCAACUAUAAAUAGGCCUAACCAUUUCUCAUUUACACCAUCCCAACCAAUCUUUCUCUCUUAGUUUUCUCUCUUCUCCCAUUUGAGAAUUCUUAAGGAAUUCUAUUUGUUUGUAAUAUUUUAGAGAUAGUAAAGUUAUCAUCUGGUGUUAGUGCCCGAGGACGUAGGUAUAAUUUACCGAACCUCGUUAAAACUCUUAUGUUCUUUUUGUCCUAUUUUUCUUUCAAUAUUUGAGGGUAUAGUAGUAGUAUUUAAUUGUGCUAUUAAAUUACGUUAGAAGGAAAAUUCUGACUAAGGAAAGACUUGGUAUUUAAGAGAUCCUUGUGAUCCACCUCUCUUCCCUGGGAAUUGAACUUUGUGUGAUUUUUUAGUACAAUAAUUUACACGCUUCCGACCCUAUUGGAACAACAAGUGGUAUCAAGAGCCGAAGGUUAAUCGUAGUAUGCUCUGUGGUUGCAGUUUAAACUGAUCUUCCACAUCAGAAAAGAUUUCCUUAGGUAUAUUGAAAGAUUAUGGAGAAAACGGUCGGUGUAGGAGCUUCAACAUCGUCCAUGUGGACAAGACCGACAAUUGCAAAUGCAAGAUUAGCCGUGGAGAUCUUUGAUGGCACGGGCCAUUUUGGUAUGUGGCAAAGUGAGGUUCUAGAUGCCCUUUUUCAGCAGGGUCUAGACAUUGCCAUUGAUGAAGAGAAACCAGAUGAUGCACAGGAGAAAGAUUGGAAGGCGAUCAAUCGGUUGGCAUGUGGCACAAUUCGAUCAUGCCUUUCUCGAGAGCAGAGGUAUGCUUUUUCAAAGGAGACUUCUGCAAGUAAGUUGUGGGUGGCACUUGAAGAAAAAUUUUUGAAGAAAAACAGUCAAAAUAAGCUCCACUUGAAGAAAAGACUGUUUCGCUUCACAUACGUCCCAAGUACCACAAUGAAUGAUCACAUCACCAAAUUUAAUCAGUUAGUCACUGAUUUGCUGAAUAUGGAUGAGACAUUCAAAGAUGAAGAUUUGGCUUUGAUGCUGUUGGGGUCACUUCCUGAGGAGUUUGAGUUCCUAGAAACUACUCUACUUCAUGGCAGGAGUGAUAUAUCUCUGAGCGAAGUCUGUGCGGCCUUAUACAGUUAUGAACAGAGAAAGAAUGACAAACAGAAAAACUCAAUCAGAGAUACAGAAGCUUUAGUAGUCCGAGGUCGUUCAUACACUCGGAAGAAAACUCAAAAGGGGAGAUCAAAGUCAAAGUCCAGACUCGGGAAAGAUGAAUGUGCUUUUUUUCAUGAGAAAGGCCACUGGAAGAAAAAUUGUCCAAAGAUGAAGAAUAAGGGAAAAGCUGCUGUAGAUGCUUGUGUUGCUAAGCAUGAUACUAGUGACUCUGAACUAUCACUGGUUGCAUCAUCAUCGUCGUUCCAUUCAGAUAAGUGGAUAUUGGAUUCGGGUUGUACCUAUCAUAUGUCCCCUAACCGGGAGUGGUUCUCUGAUUUAGUAGAACUAAAUGGAGGAGUUGUUUAUAUGGGCAAUGACAAUGCCUGUAAAACUGUUGGGAUAGGUUCAAUCCAAUUAAAAAAUCAAGAUGGAUCAACCAGAGUUCUGACUGAUGUUCGGUACGUGCCCAGUUUGAAGAAAAAUCUCAUCUCAUUGGGAGCCUUGGAAUCCAAUGGUUCAGUUGUUACUAUGAGAGAUGGGAUUUUGAAAGUGACAUCUGGCGCACUUGUGAUAUUGAAGGGCAUCAGGAAAAAUAACUUGUAUUACUACCAAGGUAGUACAGUUAUUAGAGCAGUCGCUACAGCUUCCGGUAACAAAGAAUUGGACUCAAUGCAGUUGUGGCAUAUGAAGUUGGGACAUGCCAGCGAAAAAUCCUUGCAAAUUCUGGCAAAGCAAGGAUUGUUGAAAGGUGCAAAGGCUUACAAAUUAAAAUUUUGCGAGCAUUGUGUUCUGGGAAAGCAAAAGAGAGUGGAAUUCGGUACUGCUAUCCAUAAUACAAAAGGUAUUUUGGAAUAUGUUCACUCAGAUGUGUGGGGGCUUUCCAAGACACCUUCAUUGGGAGGAAAACACUACUUUGUUACUUUUGUUGAUGACUUUUCCAGAAGAGUUUGGGUGUAUACCAUGAGAACUAAGGAUGAAGUGCUUAGAGUUUUUCUUAAAUGGAAAACUAUGAUCGAAAACCAGACUGGCAAGAAAAUCAAGCGGCUUAGGACGGACAAUGGAGGCGAAUAUAAAAGUGAUCCAUUCUUCGAUGUGUGCCAAGAGUAUGGUAUUGUUCGACACUUCACAGUUAGGGAUACACCACAGCAGAAUGGAUUGGCAGAGCGUAUGAAUCGAACAUUUCUGGAGAAAGUUCGAUGUAUGUUGUCCAAUGCUGGGUUGGGCAAGCAAUUUUGGGCUGAGGCUGUGACAUACGCUGGCCAUCUUGUUAAUCGUUUGCCAUCAUCUGCAUUAGAAAGAAAAACUCCUAUGGAGGUAUGGUCUGGAAAACUGGCUACAGAUUAUGAUUCCUUACAUGUGUUUGGAUCCACUGCAUAUUACCAUGUGAAGGAGUCAAAGUUAGAUCCGAGGGCAAAGAAAGCUCUCUUUAUGGGAAUCACUUCUGGAGUGAAGGGAUUUCGUCUUUGGUGCUUAAGCACAAAGAAAAUGAUCUAUAGCAGAGAUGUUACCUUUGAUGAAUCUGCCACAUUGAAAAAGGUAGCAGAUAAAGAUAUUCAGACGAGCAAUCCUCCACAACAGGUGGAGUGUACUCCAAAACAGGUGGAGUUUGAGCAGAUGGGGAUUUGCCCAGUUAAUAAGUCUAAUUCUCCAGCCACAAUGGAGGAAUUAGAGGUUGAAGAGGUUCUGACCCAAGAACCACUAAGUACACCAGAACCAGUUGCAGUUGCAAGGCCACAGAGAGAAAUUCGUAAACCUGCUCGAUUUACUGAUAUGGUGGCCAACGCCCUUCCCGUUGUUGAUGAUAUUCCUAUCACUUAUCAAGAAGCAAUGCAAAGCUUAGAAAGUGAUAAAUGGAAAAGCGCCAUGGAUGAAGAAAUACAGUCUCUCCUGAAGAACAAUACUUGGGAGUUGGCGCAAUUACCGAAAGGUAAAUGGGCAAUCGGAUGCAAGUGGGUAUUUGCAAAGAAAGAUGGAUCUCCUAGCAAGAAGGAUAUUCGCUACAAGGCAAGAUUGGUAGCUAAAGGCUACGCUCAAAAGGAGGGAAUUGACUAUAAUGAUGUAUUUUCCCCUGUUGUGAAGCAUUCCUCCAUUAGAAUUUUGUUGGCCUUGGUAGCACAGUUGAAUUUGGAGCUAGCUCAACUUGAUGUUAAGACGGCUUUCUUGCAUGGUGAGUUAGAAGAGGAGAUCUAUAUGACUCAGCCCGAAGGAUACACAGAUGCUGGUGGUAGAAAUUGGGUUUGUAAGCUGAACAAAUCGCUAUAUGGAUUGAAGCAAUCCCCGAGGCAGUGGUACAAGCGAUUUGAUAGCUUUAUGAGAAGGCAGAAGUACACAAGAAGCAAAUAUGACAAUUGUGUAUAUUUGCAGAAGCUGCAUGACAGAUCUUUCAUUUAUCUACUCUUGUAUGUUGAUGAUAUGUUAAUCGCUUCGAAGAGCCAAAAUGAGAUAGAUAAGCUGAAGGCUCAGUUGAAUCAAGAGUUCGAGAUGAAAGAUCUAGGUGAAGCCAAGAAGAUUCUCGGCAUGGAGAUAAGUAGAGAUAGACCGAGAGGCAAGCUCUGUUUAAAUCAGAAGCAAUAUCUGAAAAAGGUAUUACAAUGUUUUGGUGUAAAUGAAAACACAAAACAUGUAAGUACCCCACUUGCUUCUCAUUUGAAACUUAGUGCUCAAUUAUCUCCGAAGACUGAAGAUGAAAGAGAAUAUAUGGCGAAAGUCCCAUAUGCUAAUGCAGUUGGGAGUUUGAUGUAUGCGAUGGUGUGUACGAGGCCUGACAUUUCACAAGCUGUUGGAGUUGUGAGCAGGUAUAUGCAUGAUCUUGGAAAAGGACAUUGGCAAGCUAUGAAAUGGAUUCUACGGUAUCUUCGAAAAACCGUAGAUGUUGGUUUAAUUUUUGAACAGGAUGAAGCACUUGGUCAGUUUGUAGUUGGAUAUGUUGAUUCCGACUUUGCUGGUGAUUUAGAUAAACGUCGUUCAACUACGGGGUAUCUGUUUACUCUUGCGAAAGCCCCAGUGAGUUAGAAGUCUACCUUACAGUCUACAGUAGCUGUGUCUACUACAGAGGCAGAAUAUAUGGCAGUUACAGAAGCUGUUAAGGAGGCUAUUUGCCUUAAUGGAUUGUUGAAAGACUUAGGAGUUGUUCAAAGUCACAUAAGUUUAUAUUGUGACAGUCAGAGCGCUAUUCAUUUAGCGAAAAAUCAAGUCUAUCAUUCAAGAACCAAGCAUAUCGACGUAAGAUAUCACUUUGUGCGGGAAGUCUUUGAAAAAGGAAAAAUUCUACUUCAGAAGAUUCCGACAGCAGAUAAUCCCGCAGAUAUGAUGACCAAGGUGGUAACAACAAUCAAGUUUAAUCAUUGUUUGAACUUGAUUAACAUCCUGAGAAUUUGAGCACCUUUAGGUGUAUAGCGCUCGAGAGCGCAUUUGGAGGCACUACAAAAGAUAGCUUUAUCGAAUUUGGGGAGUUGAAGGAAGUAUGUGAAGAUGUGAUUAUCCUAAUCAAAUCUUCAAGGUGGAGAUUGUUGAAAAGACAAAUUAAAAGGGGUGUUGAAAAGUCAAAAAAAAUGGGAGGUGCAAGUGGCACCGAAAGAAAAAAUUGGUAGGCAAGUUGUUUAAAAUUGAAUGGGAUAAUUGCAAUUUUGGUCCCUAAUUUUUAGGCCAUUUGCAAGUUAGUCCCUGAACCUCAACUAUAAAUAGGCCUAACCAUUUCUCAUUUACACCAUCCCAACCAAUCUUUCUCUCUUAGUUUUCUCUCUUCUCCCAUUUGAGAAUUCUUAAGGAAUUCUAUUUGUUUGUAAUAUUUUGGAGAUAGUAAAGUUAUCAUCUGGUGUUAGUGCCCGAGGACGUAGGUAUAAUUUACCGAACCUCGUUAAAACUCUUAUAUUCUUUUUGUCCUAUUUUUCUUUCAAUACUUGAGGGUAUAAUAGUAGUAUUUAAUUGUGCUAUUAAAUUACGUUAGAAGGAAUAUUCUGACUAAGGAAAGACUUGGUAUUUAAGAGAUCCUUAUGAUCCACCUCUCUUCCCUGGGAAUUGAACUUUGUGUGAUUUUUUAGUACAAUAAUUUACACGCUUCCGACCCUAUUGGAACAACAAAUUUAGCCAUUUCUAACAGUAUGGCCGCCUUGCUUAGUCAAAAAAAGGCUGAAGCUUUUAAUUCGAAGUCUAAAAGUAACCUUAUCCAUAAGAAAACAUCAGAAUCUUGAGUUUGACAAAACAAAACGAAGGAUCGAUGCAUUGUUUUCUCUCAUCUUCAACGCAAAACAUAUGGUUCCCUUUGACUACCAACAUGUUGCAUGUCGUCGCACCACCCAUUUUCAUUAAUUUCAACUUUAGAAUUUUCUAAUUAAAUCCUCAAAUUAAAUAUCAAUAUUAUAUUAACCAUAUCUCUUUAUCAAUCUAGCUAUUAGUUUAAACAUUAAGCAUCAAUUAGCAUAUAUAAAAAAAUAUUUUAAUCAAAUUGUAAACACAUGUUUAUUUGUCAUAAAUUUUUUUUUUGAAUAGUUAUAAAAUUAGGCCACUUUUUUUUGUCUGUUUGAAACGUGCAUAUAAUAAUAAAGAACUAAAAUCCCACUCGAGAUCAAUAAUUUAUAAAUAUUAGAAAUGGCAGCCUCCCUCGGUACAUAAUUCAUACUCGGUUGACUACCCUUUGCUCUUGGAAUGGCUUGGCGGCUUGCUAAUUUUGCUUUUCUCACUCGAGAUUAAUAAUUUAUAAAUAUUAUAUUUUGGUCUAAUAAAAACGGGAUUGCUUGUUAAAAUUGAAAAGGGUUUCGCAUUAUUGUUGCUUUUAUGAUUGAAAUUCUGAGAUAAUAUUUAAAAUAAUAAAAAAAAUCAAUGAGGUGGUCAUUAAUUUAUGAAGAGAAAAUGGUGUGGAAGAAGGUUGGCUUGUCUCAAUAUUUAUUAUAUAUGCGAAUGAAGGGACAUUCCAACUUAAAAUUGGAUUUAGAAAAUUAAGACUGGCACUCAUCAACCUACUCAAUCACGAGUUUGUUGAAUUAAAUGUGAAUGCAAUAUGCUUAUGGUUUAUUGCUUGGAUGGAAAGAAAUAAAUUGAUGUUUCAUGUAUAAUACGCAACUAGAGUUUAUUUUUACAUUAAGUGAGAUUUAAAGGUUGAUGAUGGUUCACAGAACAAUGUUAUAAACCGUAUACAAGAAUUUAAAAGGGUUAGAAGAAAAUAGAAGGUUUCAAAGAGAGUUUCCAGUGUUUCGAUCAUUCUCAAAUUAGUCAUAAAAUAUUUAUAUAAAAAAAAUGUUAUAAGCCUCUAACACGUAUUUGGAUGUAAUUGAAAAUUUUGUCGUACCAUAUGGCUUAAACAUAAAUUUCUGAAAGUCCCGUUCAUAUUAGUACAUAAGUUAAAUGUUUCAACUCUUUUUAUUUGAAGUUUGAACCAACACUCCUCGGCUCUAUCCGCCACCACCAACCACCACCAUUUUUUUCCCUCAAGAAAGAGCAACCCAAUUAUAGCAACUUGUGUCGUGCAAUAGCCUUGACAAUUUCGAUCACAAUUUACAAAAUUCAGCUCUCUAUAUAAAAUAGUAAUGUAUAGCAGCAUCCUAUACCGACAUAAAUAAAAUAAAAUAAUCCAUCACUUAAUUAAAGAGCAUCAUUUUUUAAUGAUAAAACAAGCUCAAAUAUUAUUAUUGAUAAGUUUAAUCUCAAAUAAUUUCAUUUUCCUUUCAAAUAAAUCCAAGAUAUAAAAUAGAUAAAGCCAAAAGCUGGUAAUAAAUACUAUUAUUGAUAAGUUCCUGAAGCCAACAAUUAGAUGAAUCCCAUUCCCCUCCUACAAUAAAUACUAAACCUAAAAAAGAAUCUCUUACACCUAACACUGUAACAAUGCCUAUGCUUGAAAGGGACAAAGUUAGCCUGGGGAUUUACUCUAUAUAUUAUGCUUGUAUGCUAAAGUACUUUCGUAAGUCUAAUGCCCGACCCCGGUUAGUGAAGGAAAUUAGAAGAGUUUCCACGACCACCAAAUUGCCAUAAUGAUGCCCACGUUUACGAACACGUGGGUGCAGGAGGACGGUGAUGCUACAUUUUGGUCCAAUGCACCUUCAUACACCAUCGCGGUGUUGAUAAGAGGUGGUGUUGUCGUUUCCGUGUUUUGUUGCUGCUCUUGCGAUGAUUUUUGGCUGCAAAUUUUACGUACCAAAAUUAACCGUUAAAACCAAAAAAAAAGGACUCCGAAAACGACAAUAAAAUAACGUAACGUGCCAGUAAAGUAUGGUCCAUUACAGACAUAACGUCUUUUCUAGAGAUUUGUUAAGCAUUUAUUUUAUUUCCCUAAACUGCCCGUUAUCGACAGUACAAUAAUUACUUCGAUGAGCGUGCACUCUCUCAAUACAUUGAUCCAUAAAAAAGAACCAAUUACUGUAACUCAACGGGUAGCUGUGGCAGAGCCGACAUAAGAUAGCAAAUUAGAUUCGUUUUUUUUGCAGACCAAACGUGAAAAAGCUGCGCCGUAAGUGAUACACCACCCUUUGAUGCCAACGUUCAUUUCAUGACAAAAUUACCCUUUCACGUUGGGAUAAGUUAUUCCUAAACUUGAUAAUUUUUUUUCUAAUUUUGUUCCAAAACUUCUUUUUUAUUUAUAUUAAUAUCUGAAUUUAACAAUUAUCAUUACUCUUGAUCCCCGCAACCACCUAAAAUUAUAUGAUUUUUUAUGUGAUGAUGUAGUAGUAGAGUACUGCAAUCACAUGGACCAAAAUUGGGAAAAGUUGUCAAGCUUAGGGACUAAAUUUUGCUUUAUCCCUUUGACCUUAAAUGUUAAAAAAUAAAGUUGGAGGGGGUUGUGGAGAAAAUUUACCUAGUGUUAGGCGAAGGACAGAAAGUAAUUGUAUAAUCAGCGUUGGCGCAUGUGAAGGUACUGGUUUUAUCAUCAUAGGCAUAGCUGUAUGCGCGUGGGCAAGCUGUCUUAAACACCUCCGAGUACGAAGACGGUUUGCAAGUAUCGGGUGUACCAUACGCGCCGCUGCAACAGUACUGAGGGUCGCCGAAGGCUUCGCAAGCACUCUUGCAAGCGACGCCAUCUGUGCCGUCGGUGCUCAUCACCUUUAGUUCGGAAGGGCAAGAGCCAUUAAGGUCAACCACGCAGCCGGUGUUGGUACAGUUUUGUCCCGUGCCACCCUGUGGAACAACCAACAUAGGGAUGUUGUAACCGUCGACCAAACUCACGUCGAAAAAAUCAAGGCCGCCAGCACCGUCCAAUGUGAACUCAGCUAAACUCGCGGGCGGAGCAGCCCCGUUUCCAGAACAUUCCACCUUCCCGGAGCCACAAUCACCGGUAAGGCAGGAAAAUUUCCCGGUGGAAUCCUCGGAGCAAUGGGUUCUACCCCAGAACCGACCACCCCAUGAUGCCGGUGCAGUAAUGGCUUUGGUUUCGCCGCUUUGGAGAGCGAAACCAGUGGUGGGAAGCGUUGGAACACCUGCGUUUGAUAGAAUCCCUGGCCAUACAACAUAAUUGCAUUCGUUUACUAUUGUAAAGGUUGUGGCUUUCACUACUGAUAUGAACGAAUGUGAAAGAAUAAGAACACAGAUAGCAGCAACAAAUGUAUAUUGGGCCAUUAAAGCUUAAAAAUUUGCAAGAAGAAGAGGAAGUUGGGGAAUGUGGAAAACUGCUUCUGCUUCUGCUUCUGCUUCUUCUUCUUUAGAAAUGAGGGUUGGGAGAGUGUUUGAGAUUCUGCAAUGGUAGAUGGAGAACGGUAUUUAUAGUCUAUAGAGAGGGAAAUUGGGCUUGGAAUAAAAAAAUUCAACGGUAGAUUUGAGGAUAAAUAGAAAUAAAAUUAAAAAUUAAAGCCACUUUCAAAUUAAAAUUAAAAAUUAUUUAUUUAAAAGUAUGAUAUAUGAAAUUUUUAUAUAUAAAAAUUUAUAUUAUUUAAAUUUUACAAAUCAAUAUUAUUGUCGAUAUAACAUUAUUUUAUUUCAUAUAUAGUAUAUAUAAAUAAUAAAUAAUUAUAUUUAUCUAAUAUAAAAAUAAAUUGAUAUAUUUAUUUUAUUAUGUACAAUUAAAUCAAAACAAAGUUCCAUGUAAUGUACAUAUAUAACUAUGGUGCCCUUUCUUAUUUUAAGAUUUGAGCCUAAUUUUGUUAUUUAAGAUUUGAGCCUAAUUUUGUUUGAGAAGGAGAAGUAUUUCGAUUAAGUCCUCUCAACAAUCAUGACUCCAAUAUUCAAAUUUAGUCCAAAUGUUUAGUGAAAACUAUUAUUACAUCUUCCAACUAUAUGUUGGCACUACAAUUAAAGUUGUACCUAUAUAAUUUUACUAAAUUAUAUAUAAAAAAUGUUAAGAUUUAUCCGUGGUAUGUAUUAAAGAUUAAUCAAAUAAUAAUAUCAUAUGAUUAUUUUAUUUUAAAUUAAUUAAAUUAAUAAAAGAUAUUAGGACCGAUUCUUGUUGGCAAGAAAAAUUGCAUACUAUGGUGCAAUUUGCAAGAAACAUGAGGGUACGGUCAAAAUUUUGGUGAGCUAGCGUCGCGUCGUUUAAAAUAAUUACCAUCGGCCGUAGAUUUUAUUUUAUUGGAUUAAUGCUUUUCCUAAUAGGAGACAUCCAUCGUAAUUGAUGAUUCAUGCGAUGCGAUGCGAUGCAAUGGGAUGGGAUGUUUGGAAGUGAGAUCCAAUGGAUGUUCAUUAUUUUAUGCAUUGGAUGAAUAAAUGCAUUAGAUGGUGUGAACAAUUUCUUAUUUAUGGUGGGAAUGAGAUUAGCUUGAAGAAGUAAAAACUAAGGUGAAAGGGUACUACAUCCAACUGGUCAGUCAUAAAUUUGUUAACUAAUCAACUCAAUGAAAUCUGCAAUCUUAUUAAUGGAAUUUAACUACCUGUAAUAAAGAUGGCAAUCGGCAUUCCUGAUCAUUGGGGUACCUUCUAUUUAUAUCGAUAUUUAUACUUGCCAUUUAUUAUGCCAACCUCACUUUCUUCCCCCCCUCCGCUCCCCCCCCCCCCAAGUUUUCAUAGGUUAUGCAUGUUGCAUGUCCCAUGUCCCAUGCAUGUUGCAAGCGCAAGACUGCAACUUGUGUUAGUAGAUUAUACAAGUGAUCCAUAAUAAAGAUCAUUAAAUGAUAUUCUUCAUAAUCACACAAUAAAAAUUAACAUAAAAUCAAUUCAAGAAUACAAAGAAUGAGAAAAAGUAUAUAAUAAUAUCAAGUUAUCGUGUUUUAUGUAUUGAUGAUGAUGAUGAUGAUGAUGAUGAUGAUGCAGCAAAGCGAGUCAAGUACGGCUGGCUCAAUUGGUCCCUCCACUAAAAUGACAUUUUAGUAUAGUUGUAGCAAGUAAGCAAGAAAGUGAUAAAAAAAUCUUCUUUGGUUAGCUUUAUCCUUGAAUGCACGUUUUUUGUUUUCCCACUUUUCUCAAUAAACAUAAAAUCCCCGCCUUGUUUUUUACUCAUUUUUUUAAAAUUGAGUGGUUCCUUAAAUUAUAUUAAUCUAAUCCAUUGCCCCCAUCCUAGAAAUAACCAUAGUGUAUAUAGUUCUAAAAAGGAAGGAAAUAAAUAAACCUAUUUAAUAGUUGAACGGACCAUUGACUCCUGGUCAGUUUCUUAUAAAGCAAAAUUGGUCUCACCUGAAAACAACUACUCUUUAAGGAUAGAACUAACAUAUAGCUACCACCAUUUACCUUAAUUAAAAAAAUAUAGGUAUGGUGAAAGAUGGUAAACAAGUUUUAUGUAGAAUAUAAUAUGUGUCGCGCAGCCACCGACCGCCUUAAACGACCAGAUUUUUAUGCUAAAUUUUGCAGUUGGCAUCCUUAGCACGACAGCUUGGAGACCGAUACAGGGAUAUCAUGGUGACCCCGAACUCAUUGUGUGUGUGUUUUUUAAUGUUAUUGGCAGUGGGUCGUUCUCGCUUACGGGGAUUGCUAUAGGAUUACACUCAGCCUAAGACCGUUCAACACCAAGCUGUUUAAAGUCAUUUAUUUUAAUUUAAAGUCGUUUUAGAUUUGAUAUUUAGUUUCAUUUUAGAGCUCCGACUAUCUAUUUGUCCACAGUUAACAUGUGACAAGAUUUUGUAUAACUAGCAUUUUGUGAGGCAGGAAAUUAUCCUUUUCUUUGAAUCCAUAUAAGUUGAAUCUAAAUUUAUUUUUCUCUAAAUUAAUAUAAAUCUAAAAUAAAUUUAGAAUUAAAAUUAUUCGAACCUAAAAUAACUCGAUUUACAAAACGUCAAACUUUAAUUUGAAACUAUCAAAACCCUGAACAACUUAAACUAAAAAUAAUCUAAAUCUAGAACAACCCAAAUCAAAUAUUAACAUAAAUCGAAAUAAUUUGAAAAUAUUAAAACUCAAGUUUAUUAAUACCCAAAUUAACUUGAUUGAAAAUUAUCUCAAGGCACUCAAUUGAUAGAACGUAGAUUAUUAAGUUUAGAAAUCAAUUUGAAGCACUCAAUUCAAAUUAAUCUAAUCCCAAAUUGAUAUAAACUUAAAUCUAAUUUAAUUUCGAAACGAUCUGAACCUAAAAUAAUUGAAUGAGCAACUUGAAAUAACCAGGCUUGAAGUGACCUAACUCAUAAUGUUCCAGCACAAGUGAAACAUGUACUUAAAAUUAAAUGAUAGUUACAGUGGUAGAAUCCAAAUGAUACACCUCUUGCUAUUUGGUUGAAAACCCUAAUCGCUUAAACUUUAAGACCACUCACAUUUGAACAGCAAAAUGCUUUUUUUGUAAGUGUUAUUCGAUGUUAGUUAUAUAACAUAAAUCACUCACUAAAUAUUUAGAUUUUAGACCACAAAUAUAAGUGUGUGUAAUACAAAAGCACCCAUCGUUUUCGUUAUUUGAUAUCGAAACAGCUGGUUCACGAGUGGACUAACAAGAGGUUAUGAUAGAUUCAUCAUUACCCAUAUUAAUACAUGUGAACUUUAUUACCAAAAAAAAGUGGGUUUUAUUCGCCGACUAUGUUGAAACAAAAUUAAAAAAUAUUCUAAAGAGUUUCAAGAGUAGAAGCAUGAAACAAGGUUAUUAAUGUGACCAAUAAGAUUUUUAAACUGCAUGGGAUUUGUUGAAAUGAUGGAAAUUCAUAUUACUACGCACCCAAAUGAGAUGUCAUCAUCGUAUUGCUAUUAUUCCAACAAUGUGAAUAGAGGAAAACUUUAACCAUUUUAUUGAUGCAUUUGCCUAAUGUGUUUAAAUUCAACAUUUUAAAAUGGCAAUUAAAUAAUGGAGUAUUAUAAGCAGUAAGCACACAGAUCUCUGUUAUUUGUCUGAUUGCAGUUUACAACAUUGGGAAACGACUGUCGCUGAAUAAAGCCCAAAAAUGUGUAGAUUUUAACUGAAACUCAGGCCCAGUAAUUUGUAGAAGACUAUAAAAAACCCAACCAUAGGAAUUUCAGUCUUUUAGCCCAGAAUUUUGUGGAUUUGCUAAGUGCCUGAAAACGGAGAGGACCCAGGCCGGCCUAAUGAAAUGAGCCCAAUACCCAUAUUUUUGUUAUAAACUAAUAUGGUUUCACCUAGGUUUCGUUUGUGUGUAUAUUUAAAAUUUAAUUUUUAUAUUUUUAUUUUUAAGAAUUUAAUUUUUUUAUUUUCUAAAAUUAAAAAUUUAGGUCAAUUAUUAACACCAUUAGAAUUAUUUCAUGUUGGAGUGACUUUCAAAAAAAAAAAAAAACUCGAUAUCCACGUAAGAAAAUAAUAGUGUAAUUGGACUGAAUUUAAUAAAAAAUUUUAAUAGCACUAACAAUUUUUAAAAAUUCAUAUUAUUUUAAUUAAAAUAAAUUAUUUAGAAUAAGUAAUGAAAUUACAAAAAUUAAAGUAUCAAGCUAUGUGAAAAUUAAAGUAUAUUGUAUAAAUCACCUAUAUUUUUACUUAAUUAAUAAUCGUAUUAUUGAAUAUUUUAUUUCAUAAUAGAUGGGUUUAAGUUUAUUGAGAUGGAGAUAAAAUGAUAACAUUACCCAUAUUUUUAUUUAAUUAGUAAUGAAUAAACUAAAAUUUAUACUAAUAAUUAUGAGUAAUUAAAACAAGAAUUAAUAUUUGAUAUAUCGAUGAUGGCCAAAAGAGAAUUUAUGGGUUGACAGCUUAGGACUUCGGUUCUCCUAAAUUUUAUAAAAAUAUUUUAAGCCCUUUUGAGUUUUAAUUUUUUUUUAUUCUAAUAUUCUAAUUAGUGUUUAAAAUUUGAUUUCUUUUAUAGAAUUUAUAAUUUUUAAUGAUAAAUUUUAUAAUAUUUUUAGUUUGAUUUAGUAGACUAAUACAAGGUAAUAUCAAAAUAUUAGUUUAGUAAAAAUAAAGUUUAAUAAUUGCAACCAAAUAUAAAUAUUAAAUAGUAUCUUAGAAACAUGUCAUGCUAGGAUACAUGUCCUGAAUGUAACUCGGAUAUCUUGUUAAGGGAUUGUAACGAACAAUGGGAAGAAGGGUCUUAAAAUUGAGUGUAUGGGGCGAGCCUCUUAGCUCGGGUUAGUUGGUCUUCUUCUCUUUAUCUUUUGAUAUCCAAUUCUUUUGGUUUAAUGAAAGUUACUCUUUAUUCUAAAAAUAAACUUAAAUAAUCAUAAUAUUUAGUAAAAAUUGAGCAUUUACCUUAUUUUGUUUUUCCUAAAUUUUGGAAAUCAAGAUUAUCACGACUUUAAAAAUAUUUCCAAAUACACCCCUAUAUAAUUCGAGUUGAAAAAGUUAUUUUUAUACAAUAAUAUUUGUAUUUUAAUUUUAGGACAUAUUUAUUAAUUUUUAAGAAUAUAAUUUUAUGUUGUUUUACUAAUAUCAUUUAAAUAACUUGAAAAUUGUAUUCAUUAGAGAUAAUUUCUUAUACAUUUUGACUUAAUAAAUAUUUAACUAAAUUACUAAUAUUUAUUACUAAUUAUUUAUAUAAAUAUUUUUUCGAUCAUAAAAAAUAUAAAUAAAAGUAGAUAAAAUUACAUAUAUCUUAUUAUUAAAUUGGACUAAUAUAUUAUUAUUGCGCAUAAAUUUAAAAGGAGUCAUAUUUUUAAUUUUAUUAGUACCAUUUUUUUGGGUUAAAAUUAAAAUAAAAAAUAUCUCUUAAUUUACGCGGUAAAAACUUUUAAAAACAUAAAAGCCUAAGCUAGCUUAAAACUUUCCUCUAAAUCCCACACCGACUAGCGAGACAAGCAAGGAGCUGACGUUUUGUAUAUAAAUUAGAUACGCGUCUACGGGAAGAAUCAUGAUCCUUCAGGCAGUUAACGGGAUAUGAUGAGUGGUCAUUACUCGCAAGGCAUGCGGGAAGAGUGUCCGCCCCAACGCCUGGUUACGACACUUGGGCACUCCCCUUGUCGCCACCUGAUCCCAAUCUUGAAGGAAAACACCCAAAUUUAUAAUCGAGUUUAAAUUUUCAUUAACAUAAGCUUUUCAUUAGAUAAAACUAGGGAUUACAAAUAAACGAGUACGUAGGUUACAUAGCAUGAACGUCUGCUUAACUAUUUGAUUCGUAGUUCAUGACUCAGCAAUGGGUUACUAAAACCCAAAGCAAACCAUCAACGUAAAUAAACAAACCAGGGCAACACUUGGAAUCCCAGUCUUCUUUUUAACCCCAUUAUCAAACGCAACGUUUUUCAUUGAGCCCCUUUGGUUGGUGCCCCCAAAUGGCUGACUGAUACUAGAAAACGGCUGAUUAAACCCGGCAGAGUAAGGCUGGUUCGUAGCCGAAUACGGCUGGUUCAACCCUGACGACAGUGGCUGGUUAAUGCCUUGUUGUGGAUAGUUUGGGUCUUUUUGCUGUUGAUUGUUGGGUAUGGGUCCCACUAUGUGGGAAACCCAUAUUUUCUGGCACAAAUGUUUUGCCUUCCUUUUUCUUUUGGUUUUGUCAAAAGCCAAUUUUUUGGCUUAUUAACGGGUGUUGGGCAGAAAUUUUUCUGCAGAGAGCUAAAAGAAAAAAUAGAGAGAAAGAGAAUAGAAAAAAAUCAGAUUUUCAAGCUUGGUGCAGCAGUGAUCAACUCUUCGAUCGAAGGUCCAUCCGUGGUUCGAUUGAGCUGAUUUUUGGACAGCAGCUAGGUGAUAAGGUGUUCUUGACUUUGUACGGUCGGAUUUUUCAUCCGAGUCUUGUAGCGUCGGAAAUACCCAUUUUUCAGCAGCUACGUUUUUGGUGAUGUUCUCUCAUUUUUCUCUCUUUUGCUAAAGAUUACAUGUUGUUAGCCUUGUCGGAGUUGAAUGCUUGUUGUAGGCUUGAUAUUGUGAUCUUGUAGCUGAACAUUUGAUGAUAGUGGAGCUCUUUAUCGGACUCUAAAGUCCCGUGGUUUUUACCCUUAAUUUAGAGGGGUUUUCCACGUAAAAAUAUUGGUGUCUCUAUUUAUUUUUGUUGUGGUUGCAUUAGUUGAUUUGUGGUUGAUUAAGGUUGCUAGAGAACAUAUCUUGUGCUAUUGUGCUUGCCAUAAUUUUUACAGGAGUUAUAAGGAGAGAAAGAACACCGGUUGUGCUUUCGCUUUGUUUCGGUUGUUCGGUUUCUUCCCAACAAACUGGUAUCAGAGCUUGGUUAUUGUGUCAGAUAAUUAUGGAAAUUAAUACGAGCAAGAUGAUUAUGUUGAAUGGCACAAAUUAUCAACUUUGGCGGAAUAAAAUGAAGGACUUGUUGUUUGUGAAGGCUUUGCAUCUUCCGGUCUUUACUACUCAAAAACCCGAUUCGAAAAGUGAUGAAGAAUGGGAAUUUGAGCAUCAACAAGUGUGUGGCUUUAUUCGGCAAUUUGUUGAAGAAAAUGUUUACAAUCACAUUGAUCAGGAGACACAUGCUCGAACAUUGUGGGAGAAGCUUGAAAGCUUGUAUGCUUCGAGGUCGGGCAAUAACAAGUUAUUUUUGCUGAAGAAAAUGAUGGCGCUGAAAUAUAAAGAAGGAAUGUCUAUAGCUGACCAUGUUAGUGAAUUUCAGAGUAUGAUGAAUCAGUUGCUUGGUAUGGGUGUCAAAUUUGAUGACGAGAUUUUAGGACUUUGGUUGCUUGCUACUCUACCAGACUCUUGGGAGACCUUUCGAGUCUCACUCAUUAAUUCUGCCCCACAGGGUAUUAUUACUUUGGAUUUGGCUAAGAGUGGUGUGUUGAAUGAAGAGGUUAGAAGAAGAUCUCAGGGUUCUACAUCACAGUCCGAGGUGUUGGUUAUCGAGAACAGGGGGAGAAACAGAGACAAAGAUGGAAAGGGUAGAGAUAAAAGCCGAAGCAAGUCAAGAUCGAGAUACAAGAAUCUUGAGUGUCAUCAUUGUGGUAAGAAAGGUCAUAUCAAGAAAUAUUGCUUCAAGUGGAAGAAAGAGAACAAAGGUGGUGGUGAUAAACACGAUCGGAAUGACGAUGAAAAAUUCGAGCGUGUUGCUACUGUUACUCGUGAAGAUCUGUUAGUUAUUUGUGAUGAGAAUUUGGUCAACCUAGCAUGCGACGAGACUAGUUGGGUGAUUGAUACUGGUGCAUCACUUCAUGUCACGUCGAGGAAGGAAUUCUUCACAUCUUAUACUCCUGGUGAUUUUGGGGUAUUGAAGAUGGGUAAUGAUGGUUUGGUUUCGGUUAUUGGUAUGGGAGAUGUUAGCUUGGUAAGUAACAAUGGAACAAAGUUAACUCUCAAGGAUGUCAGACAUGCACCGGAUGUCCGUUUGAAUUUGAUUUCUGCAGGAAAACUUGAUGAUGAGGGAUUCUGUAACACCUUCAGUGAAGGGCAGUGGAAGCUGACUAAAGGCUCCUUGGUUGUGGCUCGAGGAAAGAAGAGCUCAAAUUUGUACUUGAUGCAAGCUUUGACUUCUCGAGAGACGGUGAAUGUGACACUGAAUGACAACUCAACUGAGUUGUGGCAUAAACGACUCAGUCACAUGAGUGAGAAGGGGCUUAGCUGUUUAGCGAAGAAGAAUCAACUUUCGGGUUUAAAGAAUGCUACACUGAAGAAUUGUGCUCAUUGUCUAGCAGGAAAGCAGAAAAGAGUUUCAUUUAGAAGCCAUCCUCCUCAUAGGAAAUCAGAGUUGCUAGAGUUGGUCCAUUCAGAUGUUUGUGGUCCGAUAAAAGUAAGAUCACAUGGUGGUGCACUUUACUUUGUGACUUUCAUUGAUGAUUGUUCAAGAAAGCUAUGGGUUUACACUUUAAAGUCUAAAAAUCAAGUCUUUGAGGUGUUUAAACAGUUUCAAGCAUCAGUUGAAAGGGAAACUGGGAAGAAGUUGAAGUGCAUUCGUACUGAUAAUGGUGGUGAGUACACAGGGUCGUUUCAUGAGUAUUGUCUGCGACAGGGAAUCAGACAUCAGAGAACACCACCAAAGACUCCACAGUUAAAUGGGUUAGCUGAAAGAAUGAACCGAACAUUGAUUGAGAGAGUCAGAUGUUUGUUGUCAGAUGCAAAGUUACCAAGAUCGUUUUGGGCUGAAGCUUUGAAUACAGUGACACAUGUGAUAAAUCUGUCUCCUAGUGUUCCUUUGAAAGGUGAUGUGCCAGAUAGAGUUUGGUUUGGUAAAGACGUGUCAUAUGAUCACCUACGUGUGUUCGGUUGUAAAGCAUUUGUUCAUGUUCCAAAGGAUGAAAGAUCCAAGUUGGAUGCCAAGGCUCGACAAUGCAUUUUUAUUGGUUAUGGUCUAGAUGGUGAGUUUGGUUAUAGACUCUAUGAUCCAGUUCAGAAGAAACUCGUGAGAAGCAGAGAUGUUGUCUUCAUUGAGGAUCAGACCAUUGAUGACAUUGAUAAAACGGAGAAAGUGGAUUCACAAGGUAGUGGUGACUUGAUCGAUGUGAAUCCGGUUCCCUUAGACUCUUCACCAGAUCCUAUCCAGGAUGAUGUGCAUGGUGAUGUUAGUGGUGACCAUCAGACUAUAGGUGACUUUGAUACUCCCAUGGAUGAUGUUGUGAAUGAUCAACAACAAGCACCUAUAGCUCCACCAGCAGUUCCACUUCGAAGGUCUUCCAGAGAUCGACGAUCUUCUGUCAGGUAUUCUCCUGAUGAAUAUGUUCUUUUGACUGACGGGGGAGAACCUGAAUGUUAUGAAGAGGCUAUGGAGAGUGAAUGCAAAGAUCAGUGGGUUGAAGCGAUGAAAGGCGAACUUCAAUCAUUGCAUGAGAACCAUACUUUUGAAUUGGUGAAACUGCCUAAGGGCAAAAGAGCUUUGAAGAAUCGGUGGGUUUACAGGUUGAAGCAAGAAGAGAAGUCUUCAUCUCCACGAUACAAAGCUAGAUUGGUCGUCAAGGGUUAUACUCAGAAAAAGGGGGUUGAUUUUGAAGAAAUAUUUUCUCCGGUUGUGAAGAUGUCCUCUAUCAGAACUAUACUGAGUUUGGCAGCUUGUUAUGACCUAGAGGUUGAACAAAUGGAUGUGAAAACUGCUUUUCUUCAUGGUGACUUGGAAGAAGAGCUUUACAUGGAGCAGCCAGAGGGUUUUGUUGCACAAGGGAAAGAGGACUAUGUGUGCAGAUUGAAGAAGAGCUUGUAUGGUUUGAAGCAAGCUCCAAGGCAAUGGUACAAGAAGUUUGAGUCUGUUAUGGGGGAGCAAGGCUACAAGAAGACUACUUCUGAUCAUUGUGUGUUUGUUAAGAGAUUCUCUGGUGAUGAUUUUAUUAUUCUUUUGCUCUAUGUUGAUGAUAUGCUUAUUGUUGGUCAGAAUGCUUCUAGAAUUGAGAAGUUGAAACAAGAGUUGAGUAAAUCCUUUGCAAUGAAGGAUUUGGGGCCAGCAAAGCAAAUUCUUGGCAUAAGACUGACACGUGAUAGAAAGGCCAAGAAAUUAUGGUUAUCACAAGAGAGGUACAUUGAGAAAAUACUUCAAAGGUUUAGUAUGGACAAAGCUAAAGCGGUGAAUACUCCCUUUGCUAUGCACUUUAGAUUGAGUGUUAAGCAUAGUCCUUCCACAGAAAAGGAGAAGGAAGAGAUGCAGAAAAUUCCUUACUCUUCAGCCGUGGGUAGUUUGAUGUACGCAAUGGUUUGCACGAGACCAGACUUGGCUUAUGCCGUUGGUACAGUUAGUCGGUUUCUUUCUAAUCCAGGCAGAGAGCAUUGGAAUGCAGUGAAGUGGAUUAUGAGAUAUCUUCGUGGCACUUCCAACAUGAAACUUUGUUUCGGCAAUGAGAAACCUGUUCUUGUUGGGUAUACAGAUUCAGACAUGGCCGGAGACAUUGACUCGAGGAGAUCUACUUCAGGUUACUUAAUCACUUAUGCAGGGGGAGCUGUGGCAUGGCAAUCGAGACUGCAAAAGUGUGUUGCAUUGUCCACCACCGAAUCAGAGUUCAUUGCAGCAACCGAAGCGUGUAAGGAGAUGCUUUGGAUGAAGAAGUUUGUGCAUGAGCUUGGUUUUACUCAGGAGAAGUAUGUCCUGUACUGUGAUAGCCAGAGUGCUAUUCAUCUUGGUAAGAACUCAACUUUUCAUGCUAGAUCUAAGCAUAUUGAUGUGAGGUACCAUUGGAUACGAGAUGUUCUUGAAGCUAAGCUGUUAGAGCUUGAGAAGAUACACACUAAUGAUAAUGGUGCUGAUAUGUUGACGAAGGCCUUACCAAGAGGAAAAUUUGAAGCAUGUUGUUUGACCUCCGGUAUGGAGGCAUUCCCCACAUAGUUGGAGGGGGAGAUUUGUUGGGUAUGGGUCCCACUAUGUGGGAAACCCAUAUUUUCUGGCACAAAUGUUUUGCCUUCCUUUUUCUUUUGGUUUUGUCAAAAGCCAAUUUUUUGGCUUAUUAACGGGUGUUGGGCAGAAAUUUUUCUGCAGAGAGCUAAAAGAAAAAAUAGAGAGAAAGAGAAUAGAAAAAAAUCAGAUUUUCAAGCUUGGUGCAGCAGUGAUCAACUCUUCGAUCGAAGGUCCAUCCGUGGUUCGAUUGAGCUGAUUUUUGGACAGCAGCUAGGUGAUAAGGUGUUCUUGACUUUGUACGGUCGGAUUUUUCAUCCGAGUCUUGUAGCGUCGGAAAUACCCAUUUUUCAGCAGCUACGUUUUUGGUGAUGUUCUCUCAUUUUUCUCUCUUUUGCUAAAGAUUACAUGUUGUUAGCCUUGUCGGAGUUGAAUGCUUGUUGUAGGCUUGAUAUUGUGAUCUUGUAGCUGAACAUUUGAUGAUAGUGGAGCUCUUUAUCGGACUCUAAAGUCCCGUGGUUUUUACCCUUAAUUUAGAGGGGUUUUCCACGUAAAAAUAUUGGUGUCUCUAUUUAUUUUUGUUGUGGUUGCAUUAGUUGAUUUGUGGUUGAUUAAGGUUGCUAGAGAACAUAUCUUGUGCUAUUGUGCUUGCCAUAAUUUUUACAGGAGUUAUAAGGAGAGAAAGAACACCGGUUGUGCUUUCGUUUUGUUUCGGUUGUUCGGUUUCUUCCCAACAAUGAUAGCCCAAGUGGGAUUGUUUCCCGUUGUCCCCAACAGGUUUAGCAAAUGGAGCAUUGUUGCCCACAGGUUCAGCAUUGUUCCCUUCGUUUUCAGGGAGGGUGGUUGUAGUUGCUUCUGCCUUGGUUAAUGCGAUUGGGAUUGUGAAACAGAGUACCACAAGACAUAAAAGGAGACAGGGAUUUGGGGAUUUGAAUAUUUCCAUCAUUGUGAAAAAAAAUGAAAAAGAGGUUAAGCUGUUAUGGAUUUUGAUGCUACACGAUGGUUUAUAUAGAGAAUGAAAACCGUAAGGACCAUUAUAAUUGAAAAUGGAGCAGUUGGAAGUACUAGGAAUGUAAUAAACAGAGGAUAAGUAAGGAGUUGGUAGGAAUAUGGUCAAAUUAUGAUUUUGGUCCUUCUAGUAUAUGCUUAAAAUAGGUAUUUAGUCAAUGUAUUUUAAGUUAACAUAGUUUAAUUGGUCUAUUUUUAUAAUUUCAUUAAUAAGUCACUAUUUUUUUGUCAAAAUGUUGAAGUGGGUUUCACUAAAAAUACUCUUUCCAACACUCAUGCAAACAUAAUGAAUUGGAAUAGGUGUUUUUAAGAAAAAUUUAUGUCAACAUUUUAAUCAGAAUAGUUAAUGUUGUUCACUAUUUCGAUUAAUUAUUGACAUUAUAAAAGUAGAGAGAUUGAAUCGUGUUAAAAGGUUAAUAUAGCAUUAGGUACUUGAGUUGGUUUGAAUAUUUAAUUUGAUACCCAAUCAAAUGACAUCAUGUGGCCUAAUGAAUGUUUGACAAGUGUGUUCCAAUACAAAAACACAAGUACUUAAUCUAGACAAAAAAGCUUUCGUAUCAAAACUGAACAUUGAAGCUAAACUUAAGUAUUUAUUAGGGACAAUAAAAACUCAAGUAUGAAAUUGAUAAAACUUGGGUACUAUAGUGAAUGUUGAAGCCAGGACAAAAAAAAAACUCAAGCACCAAAUUGAACAUUAAAACUAAACAGAGGUAGAAGAUAAUGUAUUAAUCCCAUGCUAAACUAUGGUAUAAAAGCUAAAUUUAAAAUUUAAACAUAGUAGAAGGACUAGAACCAUAAAUUGACCUUAAAAAACACAAGUCAUUAUGUAACAAAUUCAACCGUACAUAAUAAACAACUAUUUUGAAUAGGUAAAAGAUAUGGCCACAUCAAUUGAAGUUUGGUUUCAGCAUUUCAGUUGAGUGUAGUAGGCAUAACCAAUUCAAUACAACUUUACUAGUUCUGUAUUUUGAUAUAAUAUAGCGAAAAUGAUGCAUUUAGGGAUGGUGUGUAUUUCUUAAUGUGUAAAAUGGAAGAAAAAUAAAGCCUUUUUGCAGACUUGUUAAUUAAUGCUAUUAUGAUAUGGCGAUUUCAACAUCUGUCUUAUGGAUAGCAUUCAAGUUUACUGCUAAUAGGAAACUUAAUUGUGGAUUAGGGUGUGAUAAAAAAAUAAAUAUUAAACUUGUAAUUUUUCAUACCAAUAUUAAUAAGUAAAAUGCUUGAUUGUUGCUUACAUGUGUACUCCAAAGAAAAUGCUUGUUUUUACAUUAAAGCAUCCCUUAAAGUGCAAAGUAUGUUCCUAUCUUUGUUAUAGAAAUACUUGUAAUCUGGAUAAGUAGAAAGGCUUUUAUCUUUUAUAAAUGUAAUAGAGAAACCCAUUUUAUUUCACUUGCAAAGAGCUGAGCUAUGGAAUUACACUAAUUACCUUGGCUUUCUUCAAAAAUGGCCUUACACCUUUUAAUUGAAACUAAUUGGGUAUUUCUCCUGUUUGCUUGGGAAAAACAGCCCCCAAUGUUUCUCAUAUGCCGGUUCUUUAUUAUUCUCAUCAAACAUCGCAAACAAGUAAACUUCUAUUGCUUUUCCAGGUUUCCUGGGAGUCCCCUUGCGCUGAUUCACAUGUCGAACCAAAUUCGUAUUAUAAGUCCUCGCAUUAUUAACACUCGUAGCCGUUCCACCGGCCGACGGCCACCCACUUUCCGAAACAACAAUGUCCAAACUUCCCCCACCAGCCCUCUCCAAGGCAGCGUAAAAUGCAUCCAUCAUCGCGUCGAAAAGGUUCUGGUACCGAUGUGGACCAUCUGUCACAACGACAGACGGUGCCGUAAAGAGAGCAUAGUCUAGACGAACAUCUCUUGGAUUUUCCAUGUGGCUAAAGUAGGGAUAUACAUUAACAAGUAAUGGAGCUCUGAUGUUCCUCAAGAAGGUUAUGACUGGACCGAGAAGUUGUUGGUAAUCGCCACGAAGUUUGCCUUGCGACGGAGGGAAAGAUACCUCCAUAGCACCGAAAAACGUAGCCGUAGAAACUUUGAUUUGGUUCCCUAAGCCUGCUUUAACUAUUGCAUUAUGAACAUUCUGCAUUGCUGGGAAAAGGAAUCGAGCAAAUGGAUCCCAUGGCUUUACUUCGUUCCCGACAGCGAUGUAUCGAAAAUUAACGGUGCUGUAUCGCCUGACGUUAUCUUGAACCCAUCGAUCAGCAUUGGCUUGACUAGCUGCAAGGUAUUCGAGUCUCGGAUUCGAAACAUCUAAUAGCAGCUUGAUGUUGGUACCUCCGAGAGCUCGUAGGGCAGCUUCGUUGGGGGCGUAGAGUCGCGAUUGUUGGAUGCCUUUUCUUCUGUAAAGAUCGAUUACUUCGGCUGCUGGUGGCAAGUUAUUUCCCAUCAUUCCAUAACAAACACCAACUUGGGCAUCUGCAUGACACUAGUUCCACAAUGCCUUAAUUUUAAAAUCAAACAUUUUACACUUUGAAUAGCUUUUCGGAUUGGACUCUAAAAACUCAAAACUGAGUUCAACAGAAUAUUUUAACGUAAAUCUUUUAUCGCUUUACUCGUGGUUCACUCCAUACUCACAAUAUCGAUUAUAGAAAGUAUCUGCUAGUAGUUUAGGGGACAACGAUUUACUCUUACCAAUGGUGCGUGUGAUAUAAAAAAAUACAGAUUUUUAAUUUUUAAAAUUCAUAAAAAUAUUUGUCUUCUGAUUAGGGAUUUUUAAAAAUUUCACCAAAUUAAUCUAAUUUUAUAAAUUUCACCAAAUAAUUUCUAGUUAUGGGUCUGUAUAAAUGAUUCACUAAGGAACAUAAAGAGUGUAAAGAAUGAAAGGGAGACCUGUGGUUUUGAAGAUAGCCGAUAGCAACCCAGAAAGCAGAAGAAGCAUAGUUGAAUGCAUGAUUGAAUUGGCCAUUAGCUAAUAAAAGAUUUUACUAUUCUAGAAGUGCUGUGAUGCCUCUAACACCAACUCUCACCACCCUUUUUAUACAGAAAUUACAGCCCAGGAUGGUCUGCUUUGGCAGGUCUAGUAUUCCUAUGAAAAUUAUGGUACAUGAAUUAAAACUCUUACCACCAUUAAUCCAAGCCUAACUUUGCCAUUUGUUUAUUGGCAGUUUUUGAGUGCCCUGCCCACUCGUAUACUUCACUGAAAAGUCUUUGGUUCAUCAUCUCCUUUUCUUAUUUAUUUAUAUAUAUUGAAUACGAAAUUAAUAUCAAUGGAAGACUUUAAUAUAACUCAUUCUCUACUCAAAUUUCGAUUUUAGUUAACCAUUUUCCAGUGUCAUUAAGGAUAAUGUAAAUUUAACUCUUAAUAUUUACAUAUUUUAUUAAUUUAAUCCUUAUUUUUUAAUUAAAAUUAACUCUUAAUCUUUUGAAAAAUAGUCAAAUUUGAAAAGAGUCAAAUUAAUUUUUUUUAAUAGAAAUAUAGAUUAAAAUGUUAAAUUUUAAAACAUAAAAAUUUGAUAUUUUUUAAAAAAGUAAUGAUUAAAUUUAAAUAAAAGAAUUAAAUUAAUAAAAAUAUAAAUAUUGAAAAUUAAAUUUGUUAUUAUACCUAUAAUUAAUAAUAUGACUUUGAAAAACUUGAGUCACAAGUCAAAUAAUGGCAUUUUAUUAGAGUCUUGUAAUUAGGUCGGUCCAUGUUUGAAUGGAAGAUAUUUUUUUAAGAUGAAGAAUUAAUACUUGCCGCAUGUAUAGCUGUAGGGCAUAUUUUUACUAAAAUUACUUAAAUUACUAUAUAUCAAGUCUUUUCUACACACAAAUUAUGUAUGAAUGAGAUAAUGUGUCAUUUAUAUUUUAAAAAUAUGUAAUGCGAUCCUUAAACUAUUAAAACUCAAAUCAGAAAGUAGUGGGAUAAUAGCCGAAACCAUUUUAUUUAACUUAGAAAUGAGCAGAACGCAUCCAAUUAUAUAAAAUUACAGUAGACAUCCACGUUUAUUUGCCUCUAUAUAUGGCCUAUGCUGCCUUCUUUAGAGGCGAUGACAAUGGUAAACUUUAGUAUACCCGAGACUGAGAAAAAUGGCUUUACCGGUUUUAAUUGAAACUAAUGGAGUAUUUCUCCUGUUUAUUUGGGAAAAACAACCCCCAAUGUUUCUCAUAUGCCGGUUCUUUUUCAUUCUCAUCAAACAUCGCAAACAGGUAAGCUACUAUAGCUUUUUCGGGUUUCUUCGGAGUCCCCUUACCCUGGUUCACAUGUUGAACCAAUUUCGUGUUGUAAGUCUUUGCGUUAUCGACACUCGUGGCCUGUCCACCGUCUGAUGGCCAACCAGUUUCCGAAACAACAAUGUCCAGUGAUCCCCCACCGGCUUUCUCCAGGGCAGAGUAAAAGGUGUCCAGCAUCGCGUCGAAAAGGUACUGGUACUGCAACGAACCAUCCUGCACAACAGCAGACGGUGCCGUAAAGAGAGCAUAGUCAAGAGGAACAUUGGAGUCUCCGAUGUGGCCAAAGUAGGGAUAUGUGUUAACAAGCAAUGGAGCUUGAUUGUCCCUCAAGAAAGUUAUGACUGGGCCAAGAAGUUUCUGAUAUUCAGGAUCUAAACUGCCCUUCGAUGGAGGGAAAGAUGAUUUAUCAAUAGCAGCGAAAAACGUAGCGGUGGAAACUUUGAUCUGAUCCCCUAGGCCUGCAUUCACUAUUGCUUUACGAAUGUUCUGCAUUGCCGGAAAAAGGGAUUGAGCAAAUGAAUCUGUAGGCUUUACUUCAUUCCCGACAGCGAUGUAUCGGAAAUUAACAGUGUUGUAUUUCUUGAUGUUGUCUUCAACCCAUUGAUCAGCAUUGGCUUGACUAGCAGCAACAGAUUCAAGGUUUGCACUCGGAACAUCUAACAACAGCUCAAUGUUGGUACCACCGAGGGCUUGCAGAGCAUCUUGGUUCGGAUCAUAGAGCCGCAUUCGUUUGAUGCCCUUUUGUUGGAAAAGGGCGAUAACUUCUGCUGGUGGUGGCAGGUUAUUUGCCUUCAUUCCAUAACAAACACCAACUUCAGCACCUGCAUCACAUUAAUUCCACAAUGCCUUAAUUUUAAGAUCGUCUUACCCUUUAAAUGGCUUCUGAUUUAGGUUUAGGGUUUUUAUUUAUUUAUUUAAGGAUCCAAACCAAGACUGUUUUUAAAUGAACACUUCAACUCAAACUUGUGGUUCAGUCGACUUAUAAUUUAGGGUUAGGAGUUUAAUUUGAUAAUGGUAAAUUUUAAAUUUUAAUCCAUCCAAUAUGAUCUCAUUUGAGAUUUGACAUAAUUUGAUUAUCUACUUUUAUAGUAACAUUAGUUAACUAAAUAGUUAUCAUCCUCAACUAUUUCGAGAUAGAUUUUUUGUGUUAAAAAUGUGUUUUUAAAAAAAUAAUCAUAUAUACACAUAUAAAAUAAUAGUCAAAUUAUAGUUUUAACUAUAUUCAUAUUUUGGAUUUAAUAUUUACAUUUUAAUUUAAAAUAAUUUAGUCAUCUACUUUUGACAUUAGCAAGUCCAAUUUAAGAAUAUCUUUAAUUGUUCUAGUUAAAAUGCUAAUAUGAGUUUUUUUUUUAAAGCACUUUUCUAACACACACAGAAUCUUUUUUAGAAUGAAAGUUGGAAUAAGUAUUUCUAAGAAAAAAAAAAUCGACCUCAGCAUGUUAAUUGAAAUAAUUAAGGGUGUCAAUUGUUUGGACCAACUAAUAAUAUUAUAAGAACACAAGAAUCAAAUUAUGUCAAAUUAAAAUAUUGAUACUAAAUCCGAAAUUUAAAUAUAGUAGUGAGACCAUAAUCAUAAUUUGAUUUAAAAAAUUUCUAUUUAACAGAAUCAUUUGUCAUUUAGUUUAAUAAAAAGUUUGAUAUCGUUUUAAAAAAAAAUUCAAACGAGCUACCAGUUAGACCUAAAAUUUUAGAUUUGAAUAAUAGAGGAAUUAAAUUCCCAAAAAUAAAAAUAGAAAAACUAAAUCUCAAAGUUACAAAGAAUACAAAUAUUUCAAACAUAUUUUAAUCUUAAAUUUUUUACUCUAUUAUUUGAUAACAAACCAAAUGCAAAGCAUGGACGAACCAUGCUAAUUUUAAAAAAGUUAUAUUUAUAUAUAUAUGAUGUAACUUGAUUCAUUGAAAAAAUAUAGAUUUAUGAGAAAUGAUUGUAUGAAACUGUGACUCCACGUCAUCUUUAUCUCUUUAUAAUAGGAGAAUGAUAAAUUAGAUUUUUUCUCCUCAUUUUUAGCAUUUUUAAUUGGAUUUGAAUUUUUUCAGGAGAAAAAUCUGAAAAUCAGGAGGAAAAAUCUGAUUUGUCAUUCUCCUAUUUCAAAGGGAUAAGAAUGAAGUGAAAUCACAUUUUUAUACAAUCUCUUCUCAUGGAUUUAUACCUACAAACCGCAUAAUAAUUGCAAACAAGUAUUAGUAAAAAAUGGACAUAUGAAAAAUGUUGGAGAUGCUUUGUACCUAAACGAAUUAUUGAAUGAUAAAAUUGAAUUUUGCCCCCUCAAAAAAAAAUUAUUUUCUGGCUUUGGGUCUGUAUGUAGAAACAUGUAAUUCAUAAAGAAACACAAAAGAGAGUGUACAGAAUGAAAGAGAGACCUGUCGUUUUGAAGAUAGCCAUUAGCAAUCCAGAAAGAAGAAGAAGCAUAGUUGAAUGCAUGAUGGCAUUGGCCAUUGGCAAAUAAAAGAUUUUACUAUUCUGGAUUUUAGGAACUGUUGUGAUGCCUCUAACACCAAUUCUCAGCACCCUUUUAUAAAGAAAUUACAGCUCAGGAUUGCCUGCGUUGGCAGGUCUCGGUUACUUCAUGGAAAAUUAUGGUGCAGAAAUUUGUUUACUAGCGCGCUGCCCCUUCCUUUACUUCAUAGAAAAGUCUUGAGUCCUUCAUGACGCAUAGAAAAAUUGAGUCUCAUUAUCUCAUUUUCGUAACUAAACUUUUUAGACUCUUGCAAUUACAUGGUUUCUUUUCGGCCACUCAUCGAGCCAUGUUUGAAUGCAAGAUUUUUUUUUUUUUUUUAAUGUUAGAAAACUGGCUUCGACGACCCAUUAAAUGUGUAGGGACCGAAACUGGCUUCGACGACCCAUGAAAUGUGUAGGGACCGAAAUCCAAAAGUUUAAUCAAAACAAAAUAUCUACCUCCAAAAAAUAAAAUUAUAACUUUUUUUCCGGAUUUUAAGUUUGUAAAUAGUAUACGAUUCAAUUAAUUUAUUAAAUUCAACUUGCUCUAAAAAAUAUUAUGAUGACUUGUGUAUAAUCUUAAUUUUUCAUGUAAUACUUGACUCAUUUGUUUCACGAUUAUGUCUACAAAAAGCACCUCGUAUAGUUUAACAGUAGUGUGAAAGACUUGUAUCCCAUGACCAAUUUCAGUACAAAGCCAAUAUAGAAUUCAUGGCCUUUUUCUAGGAGCAUGGGACAUAGCCUAGUUUGGUAUAAAAGCUUGUUCUAACGAUUCUUUGAUGCAACCAAUCCAUCCCCGGUAAUAGUAGACAACUGCAUCUGUUAAAGAAUACAUCCUUGAUUUGGUCUUCUUUGAGGAAGAUUAGUCAUAUUCUUGAGUCAGGGAUAAGAGGGGUUAUUAAAGACGACAGUUCUCUGAAAUGUUGGAGUGAUAAUUGGUUGGGAAGAAACUCUCUCCGCCAGCUAGUACAAGGCCCUCUAACAUUUUUGAAGGAGUUCGGUCUCUUGAACAAGUCCACAAUAGUUGGACUUUUAGUGGGCAUCAUUAAAUUUCUUACCAACCUCCAAAGUAUGUGAUUGAUGUGUUCUUAAGAAUUCUUGUAUCGUCUCCUGGCCUGGCUAAGAUUUUGUUUGUUGGGGUCCUUCGAAAUCUAGAUCCUUUACCCUUCAAGUACCUACUCCUUCAUCCUAGCACGCAAUGCUCCCUCUCUUGGCACCCCCUCUUGUAGCAAUUUAAAUCUCUAGAAUUUGAUAGGGAAAGCUCACCUUCCUCCAACAUUAAAGUUUUUCCUUUGGAAAUGUGAGUGGAAAGCUCUUCCCACCCAAACCUUUAAGAUCUAUCGUGAUAUGAACUUAAUAGAUCUUCGUCCUAUUUGCUCUAAUGAAUAAGAAUCCAUUAUAUAUCCAUCUGUUUCGGGAAUGUAUAUUGUCCAGCAAUUGUAGAAUUCUAUUUAUUUUCACUGUUGAUUUAGGCCUCUUCAACCCAGUAAUGGGGAGGAAUGGAUUCAAGGUAACGUCACCUCAAAAAAAGUGGUUCCAACAUCCUUCAAUUCCUUAGUUCAUUGUUUUUACUUUCGCCUUAUGAGAAAUUUGAUUGUGUCGUGAUCCUUUAGUCUUUUCAAAGACUAGACCUCUAAGGGGUUUCUUGCAACCGUUAAUCCUUGGUGUUGGUGAAUUUUUUUGCAAUCUCACUGCGUACAAAGAAUUUCAAUCUUCUUGACAUUGUUCCAGUUGCAUGGAAACCUCCUCCAUCGGGAUGGGUCAAAUUGAAUUCCAAUGGUUCAUUUAUAGGCAAUCUGAAUAAAGUAGGUAUGAUUAUCCAUGAUCGUUAGGGUCAUUGGGUGAUUGGCUCUUUUUGUCACAUCCCUAAUGCAGUUAGUGUAGAAGCUGAACUUUGGGUACUGAGAGAUGACCUAGUAUUACCUCAAGACCUUAAUAUAGAAAACCGUGAGAUUGAAGUUGAUGCUACGUCUGUAAUUCAUUUUAUGAAAGUCUCUUCAAAUUCUAACUUACUAUUAUCUUCAAAUUUUUCACGAAAAGAACAGAUGUGCAGAUACUUUAGCCCAUAUGUGAAGUAGCUACCAACAUGUCAUGUAUUGAACUUCAAUAAUAUUUGUUCCUUUCCUACCAAAACGAAAUCUUUUAUAGAACAUCGCUCGAUGAGUUCGUAAAUAUAAUAGUGGAAAAGCUUUUCUUUCGCUUGAAAAAAAAUCGCAAACGGCAACCAAUUUUAUAAAAUUACAAUGUACAGAUUACAUUUAUUUGCCUCUAGGCUCUCUUCUUUAGAGGCGAUGACAAUGGUUUGCAAAUCAAUACCCGGGGCUGAGAGAAAUUGCUGUACCGGUUUAAUGGAAACUAAUUGAGUAUUUCUCCUGUUUAUUUGGAUAAAAGAACCCCCAAUGUUUCUCAUAUGCCGGUUCUUUUUCAUUCUCAUCGAACAUGGCAAACAAGUAAGCUUCUAUUGCUUUUCCGGGUUUCUUCGGAGUCCCCUGGCCCUGAUUCACAUGUUGAACCAAUUUCCUGUUAUAAGUCAUUGCAUUAUCGACACUCGUGGUGUCUCCACCAUCCGAUGGCCAACCGGUUUCCGACACAACAAUGUCCAACGAUCCCCCACCGGCCUUCUCUAAAGCGGAGUAAAACGAGUCCAGCAUCGCGUCGAAAAGGUUCUGGUACUGCAACGAACCAUCGGUCACUACGACAGACGGAGCUGUAAAGAGAGCAUAGUCAAGAGGAACAUGUUCGGGGUCUCCAAUGUGGCUGAAGUAGGGAUAUGUGUUAACAAGUAAUGGAGCUUGACUGUCCCUCAAGAAAGUUAUGACUUGACCAAGAAGUUGCUGAUAUUCAGGAUGUAAAUUACCGUUGGAUGGAGGUAAGAUUCUUGAAGAGCAGCAAAAAAGGUAGCUGUAGAAACUUUGAUCUGGUGCCCUAGGCCAGCUCCGGAAAUUGCAUUAUGAAUAUUUUGCAUUGCAGGGAAAAGGAACUGAGCAAAAGAAUCCGAAGGCUUUACUUCAUUUCCGACAGCGAUGUAUCGAAAACUAACGGUGCUGUAUUUCUUGAUGUUGUCUUGAACCCAUUGAUUAGCCUUGGCUUGACUAGCAGCAACGUACUCAAGGCUCGGAUUUGGAACAUCUAACAGCAGCUUGAUGUUGGUUCCUCCAAGGGCUUGCAGAGCAGCGUGAUUGGGAGCGUAGAGCCGCAUUCGUUGGAUGCCUUUUUGUUGGAAAAGGGCGAUAACUUCAGCUUCGGGUGGCAAGUUUUUUGCCAUCAUUCCAUAACAAACACCCACUUCGGCACCUGUGAUUUUGAAGGUAGCCAUUAGCAACCCAAAAAGCAGAAGCAUAGUUGAAUGUAUGAUGGUGCAACAAGAUUCGGCAUUCGCCAUUGCUAUACUUUCAAGGCCAAUAAAAAAAUUUACUAGAAUUUUAGAAGUGCUUUGAUGCCUCCAACACCAAUUCUUAGCCACCUUUUUAUACAGAAAUACAACGCAGGAUUGUUUGAUUUGGCAGUUCUCUAUUACUGGUUUGAAAAUUUUGGUAUGGAAGCAUUCAAUGCUAAUUUGGCAACGUGUUUACUGGGUUUUUUUUAGUGUCUUUCUCCUUCCUAUAUACUUUAGAGAAAAAGUCUUCCUAUGUUUGAAAAAGUCUUUCUCCUUCAUGUCCCGUUCAACUGGUUUUCUAGUUUCAUUUAACAAUAUUAUAGAAAGUCAAUUAUGCUAAUAGUGCAUAAUAAAAUAUUAUGCUAUUAUUUAUUUAUGAUACAUUAUAUUCAUAAAUCCACUAUCUAUAAAAUAUUAUUCUUCAAGCUAAAUAUUUAUGUUAAUGGAUAUUACACUCAACAUAUGUAUGUAUGUUUAACAAAAACCCGAAAUGGACGCAGAGAAAAAGUUGAAUUGUGAGUCUCAUAAUGCACGGUAUCUCUCAUGUUCGUAACUGGAUUGGUCCAUGUUUGAAUGGAAUCACAUAUAUAUAUAUUUAAAUAUCAGAAAAUAGUGGUUGUAUGUACGUAGUGCAUGUAAUCAGUCCAUGGCCUCGACGACCCAUUAAAUGCGUAGGGAUGGAAAUAUUCCAAGUUCCAUAAAAAUUAGUGUAAGAUAAAGUCAAUGUGUUAUGCAAUUUUCUAUAUAACACUGGACAACUGCCUGAUUUAGCAGCCAUCCCUUCAUGUCGCUCCCAUGAAACAGCACAUUAUAGGGCUACUAAAUUAUAAGCGUCUCCUUUGAGUGAUAAAUAGGAAGAAAAAAAAUAUUGAAUAUCGAUUAUAGUUUAUUGUUGUUGGUGGAAUCGGUUUUGUUAUUGAAAAUAGUUUUUGAAGUAUUAAAUUUUAAAUAGUGGAGAUAGUAUACUUGAGUUAUUUAUGCUCAAUUUUCGUUUUAAAGUUUUAUCUAUCGACUCUGAUGAGAACUCAAAAGAGUUUCUGAAAUUUAUUGAAAGCGCCUAGGGUCCACCACUAGCCAAGUGGUAGUGUUUUUACCCUUUAAGACCUUUAAAAGUUUUCGAUUCAAACCCUAUCGAGACCAAAAUAAUAAAACUGCAUUUCUUUGGUAGAUCCUAGGCAUUCCCGAUAAACUCCAUGAACCUCUUAAGACUCUCUUCAAAGUCAAAAGAUAAAAUCUCGGGAUUAAAAUUAAGCAUAGACAUUCUAGGUACUGUACAACCACUGUUCGAAGUUCAGAUUGACUACUCAAAGGACAAUACUUCAAAAACUUCUCCCAAUAAGAGAGUCGAUUCCUCCUUAACAAUAGUAUUACAUUGAGAAUUAAGUUUAUUUUUAUUUAUUUGCUUAUAAUUUUUUAUAUUAGUUUGUAUCUAAUAUUAAUUUUUUUAAUCUUUGCAAAGGAUAGUAACAAAUUUUGAAAAGAUUAAUCUUCGUAAACAAUAAAACGGACAUAGAGGAUACCUUGAUUGCUUUUAUGAACCUUAUGAAUAAUUUAUGUGAUAGUUUUAAUCAAAUAAAAUAUGUUAUCCGUAAUAUCAGUUUAAAACUAAUGCUAUGUUUAGUAGAAAUUUUAUUUUUUUAACAUAGUUUAAAAUUAAUUACAAUUGAUAAUUUUAGCUAUUCACACGAUAAAGAAUUAAUUAAUUUUCAUUUUAUGCAUAAUUAAACGCUUGAUAAUAUAUAUCAUUGUUAUUGUUAAGCAUUCGAGGAACACGUUGAGUUUUCCUUUUUCCAUUUACCACUGGGAAAAUGCUUUAUAAAUUAACCCUUGCAAAAAUCCUUAGAAUUUGAUUUCAUCCAGGUCCAGCGGCCUAUCUAUGACCCACUAGUAUUGGGCCAACCAAGCAAUCCCCGGUUCAUAGAACCAAUUACCAAUAGAGUUGUAAUAAAAUUUCGAUCAAUAUUUUGAUUUUUUGUGGUUUAUAUUUGUUCCCGAGUUAAAUAAAUAAAUAUAUUUUUAAUUGUUGAUGUAAAUGUUCGAUUAUAAGUUCAUAAACUUAGGUGUUUGAAUACUUAAGUUUAAGUCUUAAUACAUGCGAUCAUCAUGUAUAAGUCUUUAAUCAUGUAUGUUAUGCUGUAGUUUUCAUGUAUAAAUGGAGAUGUCUAAAUUAUAAAUGUAAGACAACAAAAAAUUGGGCAGUGAUAGAAAAAGAAAGAUUUUUUUUUUUUGCGUUUUUUUGAUUUCAUCAAUUAGAUUUAUAUAUCAUAAUAGAUAUAGAUCUUAUUCUAUCCUAUAGAUUUGAAUGGAGAUAUAAAAAAGAAAGGUACCAAUAAAUUAAAUAGAAAUUCUUCUUCUUCUUCUUUUUCUAGAUAGUGUAUGGAAUAUAAAUAAAAAAGGGGUUAUAUCAUAUUGUUUUUUUUUCUAGAAUAGAAGCAUUUUAUGCGAUUUUCCCAUCUCUAUUUAUUUUCUAUGCAAUUUGUAUUGUAGUAUAUAUAUAAUUAUAAUUUAUAAAAUCUAUAAGAAUAGAUAAAUAAUGACAUUAAAAGACUGAUUGUUUUGUUUUAAAAAUAGAUGUCUUUGACAUCCAACUAUAGCACCGAAUAACUUUUUUUUGAAUGGCAGUUUCAAAAAAACGUACGUGUUUUUGUUCAAUUCUUUUCAAUUUAGUAGUAAAACUCUAAAAAUAAAUAUUUGUGAGCAUAUUCAUUUAAUUGAAAUAGACCAUCAUUUUCUCUUACCAACACAAAAAAUAAGCAAACAUAAAUACGGACCCAAAUAUAAUUUAUUUACUCUUUGAUCACUCAAUUAUAAAAAAUUUUACAUUUUAAUAAUUUAUCUUUAAAAAAUUAUAAAAUAAUCACAAUGCGGAAAAUUCAUACUUACACUAAUAAAUACAUUAAGAAAUUAAAAGAUGAAGAAUCACACCUUAAUUAUCUAACACACGGGAGAAGGGAAAGGUAAUAAGAGAAUCAUAAUGGAAAUUCCGAAAGAGACGUUCUAACUUCUAAUUAAAACCCAAAGAUCUUAAAAUGGCGCGCCCUUACCGUUUUUCACCCAACAAACUCCCUUUCCGUUUUAAACUUUAAACGAACCCACGCCCUCCACUUUCCCUCGUGUAUCACACGACAGCCAAAAUACAAACAGACACAAUCCCUUCAAAAAUAUAUAUCCAUCCAUCCCGCUCUAUAAUUAUUACCAUUUUCCCUUCCCAUUCCCUUCCCCUCCACAUAUCCCCUUCCAUUCCUCUCCCAAUCCAAACCAUGAGAGAAAUCCUUCACGUUCAAGGUGGCCAAUGCGGGAACCAAAUCGGUUCCAAGUUUUGGGAAGUGAUUUGCGACGAGCACGGCGUCGAUCCCACCGGAAGUUACACUAGAGAUGAAUCGUCGUCCUCUGAUCUACAGUUGGAACGUAUCAAUGUGUAUUACAAUGAGGCUUCUGGUGGGAGGUACGUUCCUCGUGCUGUUCUCAUGGAUCUUGAACCUGGUACUAUGGAUAGUAUCAGAUCCGGUCCCUAUGGACAGAUCUUUAGGCCCGAUAAUUUCGUGUUUGGACAAUCCGGUGCCGGUAACAACUGGGCUAAAGGUCAUUAUACCGAAGGAGCUGAGUUGAUUGAUUCUGUUCUUGAUGUUGUUCGUAAAGAGGCUGAGAAUUGUGAUUGCUUGCAAGGUAUAUACUACUAACUAUGUACUACAUGCUAUUCCUCUGCCUUUUUUCAUGUUUCUCUUAGAUACUUUCAUUUAGCUAAAUUUCCGCGUUAAUUUUGGUUCAAGUAAUUCUGAUCAUAGUACUUUCCUCAUCCAUUCCAACACACUUACUCUACUUAUUUUUUCUUCACGUCAAUGUUUAUUUUUCUACGUUUCUGUUUAGAAUUUGAUAUCCUCGGGCAAAAAUCAAUAUACGGAAUACAGAUACAGCAAUGGAUGAAUAAGUAAAUAAAUAUUCGAAUUUAGCAUAUUAUUGAUCAUUAAUGUUGUCGUUGAAGUAGAAGACUAAUAAUUUAAUAGAUGAUUAUUAUUUUUGUUUCUUGUUUAAUUAAAACCAAACUAGCAGGCAAUUAUUUGAUCGUACUACUCAGCUGUAUUACGAUAUAACUUUUAUUUCAUGAUAACGAUAUAUAUCUGCUUUCCUGUUGAUUUGUUUUUUCUUUGGCGUUGGCCAUAUCGAGGAUAAAGUAUCUUAUUUUAUCCAUCCAUGAAAUUGUAGAGAGUAGUAAUAUCUUGAAUUUAUGAUGAUCAUAAUUCACUGUGAAAAUAAGUAUAGAGUCUGAGCUGUUUUUAGUGAGCUGCUUUUUGUCCAAUUUGGAGGCAAAGGAGUACAUGUGUCUUUAUCUUGAUUGUGAUUGACCAGCUGGAUGUCGUUUUCUCCUUUAUUGGAUCAAAUAUUUUUUAACUAGUGUUUUGUUUCUUUGUGAAAUUUAACAUUAAGGUUAGAUCUCAUGGAAAUUGAUAAACUUUUCUAUGCAUUUUUUGGACCCUUGGGGACCCAUACCAGCUCAUCACCAUAUAAUUGUUGUCUUUACAUUAUUGUUAUCAUGGGUUCUUCACAUUUUAAUACCUGAAUUUUGAAGAAAAAUGUAAAAAAAAAAAAAUCUAAAUCACCAUGUGGAUAUUUAAUCGGUUUUAUAGUAAUAACAAUGACGCAGUCCAUAAUAGAAAUUGGCAUUAAUAUCAGAUCUUGUUUAUCCAUAUUUUUGAAGUACAUUAUAAUAACAAUUACAUGUUAAAUUAUACUAAAUGACCAUAUCUCUGGAUCCUGAUCUAGCUGAAAUGGACUAAUAUUGUGAUCAUUUGUUCUGUUGUUGCUGUAAUAAUGUAAUAACAAUGUGUCAUAAACAAUGACAAUGGUGAAUUUGUACGGCGGACUUUCAAACUAUGUCCUUUGUUUGAGUUAAAUAUUUAAAUUAGUUUUUAGUCGAAUCAGGUCUUUAAACUUUAUUUUCGUAAUCAGUGUUGGCCUGUUCAGUGUUGGCCUGUACAUUUGUUAAAAAAACCCUUGCAGCCAAUUAAGAAGCUACAGGUCAUUAAAAUGGUGAUGGUGGAUUAUUGAAUCAAGUAACUUUUAAGGGGGCCCAAAAUAAAUAUGCCAUUGUCAUUUUGAAUUGGCUAAUGAAGCUCACUUGUUUAUGUUAUUUCUUGACCAGGCUUCCAGGUAUGCCAUUCACUUGGAGGAGGUACAGGCUCAGGCAUGGGAACUCUCCUAAUAUCGAAAAUUCGAGAGGAAUAUCCAGAUAGGAUGAUGAUGACAUUCUCUGUUUUCCCUUCACCUAAAGUCUCCGACACAGUUGUGGAGCCAUACAAUGCCACCCUCUCCGUGCAUCAGCUGGUAGAGAAUGCUGAUGAAUGCAUGGUUCUUGACAACGAGGCACUUUAUGAUAUUUGUUUCCGGACUCUAAAGCUUACUACCCCUAGCUGUGAGUGAUAGAUUGUUCAUUUUGACUAUAAUGUGAAACAAUUUAGAUUCUGAAAUUAACACCAACACUAAUAAUUUUUCAGUUGGAGAUUUGAACCAUUUGAUUUCUGCAACAAUGAGUGGUGUAACAUGCUGCUUGAGGUUCCCUGGACAGCUGAACUCCGACCUCCGAAAGUUAGCCGUAAAUCUGAUCCCAUUCCCACGUCUUCACUUCUUUAUGGUUGGAUUCGCACCGCUCACAUCCCGUGGUUCCCAGCAUUACAUUUCCCUCACCGUCCCAGAGCUGACACAACAAAUGUGGGAUGCCAAGAACAUGAUGUGCGCUGCCGAUCCUCGUCACGGCCGUUACUUGACAGCCUCAGCUAUGUUCCGAGGCAAAAUGAGCACCAAAGAAGUUGAUGAACAAAUGAUCAAUGUCCAAAACAAGAAUUCAUCAUACUUCGUGGAGUGGAUUCCCAACAAUGUGAAGUCCAGUGUCUGUGAUAUCCCACCAAAGGGUUUGAAGAUGUCGUCGACAUUCGUUGGGAACUCGACAUCGAUCCAAGAGAUGUUUAGGAGGGUAAGUGAGCAAUUCACAGCGAUGUUCCGUCGCAAGGCCUUUUUGCAUUGGUAUACCGGUGAGGGGAUGGAUGAGAUGGAAUUCACCGAAGCGGAAAGUAACAUGAACGACUUGGUGGCUGAAUAUCAGCAAUACCAGGACGCCACUGUCGAGGAAGAGGGCGAGUACGAGGGGGAGGAAGGUGUGGAAGAGAACUACGAGCCUUGAAAUAUUUGGGCAAUUAUUAUUACAUAUUUGCGACUUUUACAUGCUUAUGUAAUACUGUGUGGCUAUUGGUGUGUUUUUGUUAAACUCUGUAUUUCCCAGGUUCAGGAUUAUGCUGUUUGCUCUUUCCAGACUAUAUUCAACAUAAGUAUUAUCGGUUUUACUUAAUAACCUCUGCUAAUAAGGUCUUCCAUGAUUAAAGACAUUGUUGUUUAAUUAAGUUUAAAAUAUAUUAAUUCUAUAUUUUCAUCAUUUUUUUUAUAAAAUGUUAAACAUUAAGAAGUUGUAUUUAAUCAAAAUACUAAGUAUAGGGAAUGAUAGAACUGGUAAUAAUCUAAUUAGAUGCAUUAAAAUAAAAUAUUAAAUGAUAAUCUAAUGAUAAUUUGAAUGUGGAUAACUACCAUAUUUAACUAACAAAUUUUUUCUUAAAAUUAAUGUUUUGCGGCAACUCAAAAUUAUAAUCUAAAAGAGCAAGUGUUUAAAACUUAUAAGGGAAAAAGGCAGCAGGGAACGGGAUGAAUAAAAUAAAAGUAGAAACAAAAAGGUAUAUGCAUCAGAGUCAUGGAAGUAUGAGGUGCAAACAUCGCUCGCAGUUAAUGGGCGAGCUUCUCAUACCUGGAAUGAUCCUCAUCAUUUGCAUGGGGCCACUCUAUGUUCCCCUUUCCAUAGAAUCAAAAUAUUACUAUCUCAUUGUGCUCUUUGUCUAUGCUUCUCAAAGUUUAUAUAUUACAAGAAAAGGGGUUCCCUACGCUUGCUGGAAACUUAACCAAAACAGAAAAACCUUGAAUCCCAUUGGGUUUCUUAUUUGGACUGAUAAGCUUUAUCCUCACGCUCUUUAAAAACCCAAUUACUACGCUACUCCUACUCCAAUGCCCAUACAAAAGGAAGCAUAAAAUUAUUAUUAUAUUAUAUCCUUUUAAGAAGAUAUUUAUAUGUUAAACCUUCAAUUAAUAUAUAUUUUUGUUUUUGAAACUUGCAUCCGGAGUCAUAAUUGUAAUUACAAUCAUAAUUAUCAUUUUAAAACAUAAUCAAAUUAAUAAUCGGAAUAUAUUCAAAUAUGCCGCCAAAAAAUUAAUUAAGUUUUAGUUCGGUUAUCAUUGAUAUUAUUAUCAAUGCAAGAGCACAUGGAUUCGAGUGUGUUUAAACGCGUUUACCCUUUUAUUUAGAAAAAAGAGAAUAUAUCCAAACAUAUACUAGGACUACAAUAGAGGGUUUUGUCUCUAACUCUAAAUAGAGUUCGAUAGGUUCACAGAAUAAGAGCGUCUUGUUGGGUGCUUGAUAAGGAAGAUCAUGCAUAUUCAUUGUAAUGGCCCAAAUUUGAGGUUAUCGGAACAGUGGUUUCGGAACCACAAAUCCGAUGAGAAAAAUUUUAUUUUUCUUAUAUUUUUAUGGUCUACAAUUUCACAAAAUGAUUUUUUGAAAAUUUCGUUCGAAAAUUUCGACGUUUGGGCACUCAAUUUAGUCAAAAGGACUAAAUUGUAAAAAGUGCAAAAGUUGAGUUCUACAUGUUAGAGGUGUCCAAUUGUUAUGAAACUUUAAAUUGGAGGUCUUUUUAUGAUAAUUAUACCAUUGGUAACUUGGUAGACAAAAAUGGACAUGAGAUAAGUGAAAUAGAAAAUUUUUAAGUUAGGGGCAAUUUGGUAAUCUAGUAAUUAAAAUGAAUUAAAAGGGAAAAAGAUGGCAAAAAUCAUCAUCUUCUUCAUAUGAACGAAAUCAGCAAGGGGGGAAGCUAGUUAGGGUUUUCAAGCUUCCAAGCUCCAUAGUAAGUGAUCCCAAGCCCCGUUUUUAAUGUUCUUUACGUUUUUGAGAUCCCGGUAGCUUAAUUUAGCUUAUUCUAGCAAUAAUUUAACCUAGGGUUUAUAUUUGGAAAAAUACCCAUAGGUGAAAAGUGUUUAUUUUGAUGUUUUAUGAUAGAAUAUGAAGCUAGAAAUUAUGUUAAACAACUUUUGCUAAGCGAUUUUAAGUGAAAACGAGUAAAACGACAUAAUCGGUAAAAAUACCUAAUGUUCAUAAGUACAUGUUAGAGUGGGAAUUUGAUGUUGCCAUAGAAGGGAAAAAUGUUCAGAAUGUUAUAAAACAUAAGAAUAAGAGAUGAAGUUUAAUUUCCGAGCCUUGGGGCAAAAAUGUAAUUAUGUAAAAGUUUAGGGGCAAAAUUGUAAUUUUGAAAAAGUUAGAGUCGAGGGCUGUUUUAAUGAAUGUGAUUAUUAAAUAAGUUAAAUUUACUAUUUUAGAUCAAGAAGUACGAAACUCGAGGUUAGACAAAGGGAAGAAUAAAGUUGAAGACUAAGUUGGUGAAUUUGGUUAUAAUUGGUACCGAGGUAAGUUUACGGUAAAUAAAUGCAAUAUUCCAAUAUUUAUUAUUAAUGCUGUUAAUUUCCAGCAAUUUUGAAUUUAUUUUAUGAAUUUAUUUGAUGAUGAUCCAAGCAUGAAAUGAUAGAGAAUUAAAAUUUAAAAGUCCCGUUGAUACAUAAGGAUGGUACUGGAUACGAAUGUCAUGACAUUUGGGUAAAGAGAUCCCAUGUAAGACCAUGUCUGGGACAUGGCAUUGGCAUCCUUAAGAUCAUGAGAGGUCCCCUGUAAGACCAUGUCUGGGACAUGGCAUGGGCACCGAGACGAGAGGUCCCAUGUAAGACCAUGUCUAGGACAUGGCGUUGGCACCGAGAUGAGAGGUCCCCUAUAAGACCAUGUCUGGGACAUGGCAUGGGCACCAUCACGAGAACAUCCCAUGUAAGACCAUGUCUGGGACGUGGCUUUGGCAUGUUAUUAUCAGAAGAGACCCGAGUAUCCUUAUUAUUCCAAUGUAGCUCAACGGGCUUGUAAACGAAUCAUGUUCAUGAAAGUUCAGUUUAAAGCAUAAAUGGCAAGCUCAGGUAAGUUGUAAGACUUAAGAACUUAUUAUACUAUCAAUUGAUGUUCAACGAUGCAGCAAGGAUUGAGUAAGUUAUGCACACAAGUAUUCUAAGUAAACAAGUAAGAGAACUAGUAUGAGAUUAACUAAAGAGUAAACUAGAGAUAUAGACAUUGAGUUUAAUUAUUUAAGUUAAAUAUUGUUAUUUAUUUGCUAGUAAACUUACUAAGCUUUAUGCUUACUUCUUUUAUUUCUCUUUCUCUUAUAGUAUUGCAAAGCUACUUCAAGGAUCCUAAAGAAGUCGGAGAUCGUCCACACUAUCAACUACAACUGCUCGGUAUUUUAUAUCGAAACACGUUUGAGUUAUGGCAUGUAUAGGGAUUUAGUUAUUUUGUAUGUUUGUAAUGAUGAUUUUGCUAAUGAGUGAUGUGUAAGUAUUUGAUGAUGUAUGGUUAUUAAAAUGAUUAAGGAUGAAGGUGCUUGUUGUUAUGAAAGAUUAGGUGAUAAAUUAUGCAUGGAAAUCAUGAAAGGAUAAAAUUUUGCAAAGAAACAGAAUUCAGGCAGCACAGUGACGUGAAUUUGAAAAAUCACCCAAGAUAGUAUAAAAUGAAUUAGAGGGUGAAAGAUAUAUGGAAUUAAAGCUUGUUGAGUCUAUUUUCAUGGAAAAAUAACGGUGUAGAAAAAGGAAAUUUAUAUUUUAAGAUAUGUGAAUUUUAGUAAGAUAGGGUCAGAACUGUUUUUGGAGUCCCCUGUUCUGAGUUUAGAAAAUAAUUAAAAAUUGUAAAAAAAUGAUUAUGAGUUGAAAUUUACAUGCUUAGAUUUCUUAAUGAGUCUAUUUUCUGUAGAAACAAGUAAGAACUUCAUAUGAAAAUCCUACAGUGAGAAAACUUAUUUUUAGUGACUAGAGGUCAGGGCAGUCAGGUGGUGAAACAGGGGAGACUUUAACUAAUAAACUGUACUAAUUUUCUGAACCAAAAAUUCUAAAAAUUUUAUGGUGAGUAGAUAUAUGAGUCUAGUUUCAGGGAAAAUUUACGGAAUUAAAUUUCGAGUUCUGUAGCUCAAGUUAUAAUUAAUUUAGUAACUGCUGCGCGAUUGGACAGAUUUGCUGCGAAUAAUGAAAUAAAUUUUCAAACCUAGUUUUUAUGCUCCGAAUUGGUAAGAUAAGCUAAGUAAUGCCUCGUGCUCGACUCCGGAAACGGUCUCGGGUAAGGGGUGUUACAUUCAUGUACAUAUUCAUGUUCUAUAGCAUAGAAGACACUUAUGGAUAACUACAUUUGAGUUAGCAAUUAUUAUAAUUUGUUUUUUUAUCUCUUCAAUUUUUUAUUGUUUAAUAUUUUUUUAUGUAAAUACAUGUUAGAUAUUUAUUCAUAAUAUUAACUUUGAAAUAUUUUUUUAUUUUUUUCAUUAAAACUUGCUUAAUGGCAAAUGAUUAAUAUAUAACAUAAUUUGAUAUAAAUUUAAAUUUUUUAAGUUUUAAUUGAAGUCAAAUAUAAUUUUUUAUGAACCCAUUAUAUGUGUUACAUACUUUUCUUUUAAUGUAUAAUAAAAUUUUUAAAAUAUCGAGCGGGACAAGGCCAAAAACUGCUCCAAUAUUUGUCUUUCAAACAAAAAUAAUUGCCACAUCCCGCCUCGACUAUUCAAGAAGAAAAAAGAAAAACCUUUCCAUUCGAAGUAGAUCAAUUAAACAUUUAUUAGGUGAUUCAAAUUUUAACAUCCUUAAAUCAAUUAAGAUGUCUACAACUUGUAAUUUGUUGUAAAUUUUAAAUGAAUUUACCAAAAAAGUUAAAUUUAUUUACUAUUUACAUUAAAUGUAUGUGUUAUUAUCUAAAUUGGGAUAAAAAUACCAUAUAAGGUCUUAUAUUAUAAGUUAGAUUGUAUUUUACUCUAUUAUUUAAAAAAUUACCUUAACUUAAAAAGAAUAUUGGUCAUUUUUAUUAAAAAAUUUAUCAAUUUCUAUUGUUGAAAACUUACAUGACUAACUGAAUAAUCAGAUAAUGACACAUAGCAUGCUAUAUGUACCCCGAAAUGAAAUGAUGUAUAAAGAUGAAAUUUAUUUGAGAUGCAUAAGGAAAUUACUUGGAAGUGGGGAGUAGUCUUUCUUAUCGUGCAUUGCAGCCAACAGGUACAUAGUAAAAAGGAAUUCCAUAGAUGUGGUUCCUAGUUUCCUUAAAUUCUACAUAAAACACUAAAUCAAGUUGCCAACCAUCCAUUUUGUUUUACUACUUAAAACAUAGGUGGAGGGCCAUCAAACUGUCUCAAAGUCAGCAACCUUGUGCUCGUUGGGUGUCAAGAACCCACUUCCAUCCUUAUAAUUUUGGUUUUUGAAAAUUUUAAAGGAUCAAAACCAGGAUUAGACCAAAUUUCUCAACUUCCAAUCACCCAAGAAAUUCUCGCAGUUAACCAUGGCGUGUGCUGUAGAUUUUUUAUAGCAAAUCUUAGGUUCCUUGAAUCUCACAUUAGAUUCUUUCACACCCAAAAACCAAAGCAAAAUCUUCUAUUGAAUCAAUCAUUCAAAGAUACUGAAAAAGCAUUUAUUAUAAACAUUUAAUACCAAAUCAAAUAUAUUCUCAAUCGCCCUCUAAUUUACAAUUUUCCAUUCUGUAAAUAAAAACAGAGAGCAAAAAAGGAUAAAAAUAACAAAAGUCACGUUAAAGGGCACCCAGCUUUGUAAAUGGCAUUGUAAUUCUUUGCUCUGCAAAUUUGCCUCCUUUUAAACCUUGCUUCUGCUGCUGCUCUGCUCCUUGUUACCGUGUCUAGAUCGAUGAAUGCUUCCUCUGCAGCAACGUUGAGGUCUGGGAUACCGUUUGAUGAUGGCAACAUUGAGAUCAUUUCAACCAUCCGAUCCAUCAUCAACGUUUGGUGAUGAACCCUGCUGGGAAUUCCUUGCUGUUGAUAAUGAUGGUAUUGACCAAUACUAACUUGGGCUGAUUGUACACCAAGAUCCAACCUUUUAUUUGUUACUGGUGUGAGAAGACUCUGAUUUAACUGUUGAAACCAGAAGGAAAAUAUUUAAAAAAUGUGAUAAACUUGAAAAACAAUACCACCCCACUCUAUCAAAAAAGCAAACAGAAAUAAAUAAAUAAAUAAAUUUAAAACCUUUUGUUUCUUCGAUUUCAAUUCCAAAUUCUCAGCUAUUUGUUGAUCAAGCAAUUGCCUCUUAAUCUCUAUAUCCUGUUUGAAUUCACAGUAAUCAAAGAUUUUAGUGAAAUAUUCAAGAAAAUUACAACUUAUUAAUGUAACUCACCUUUUUAAGCAAUUCAUUGCGAUGGGUAAAAUCCUCCACCAUCUCUAAAAUUUGUUCUUUUUUCUGCUUUAUUAACAAGACAAAAAAAAACCCAGAAUGGACAUGGAUCAGUAAACAGAGUACACGUGUAAAGACAAUGAACUCGAAAAAAGAAAGAAAAUUUAUUUGAGUGAUGAUAACCCAAAACGAAGAGAAUACGACGUACCCUUUUGAGAGUGUUAACCGAAGUUUUCUUCUUGGGAGGCUGAGGCUGAGGCUGAGGCUUCUCAUCUGCUUCAUUGGGACAAAAGGAUAGAGGGGUGUCAGGGCUUGAAGAUAAGACCUUUUCGAUGGGUCCCACGAUGGCGGAAGAAGAAAGAGGCUGUUGCGACGGCGGCGGAGAAGAUGUGGAAACGGAUCUCUUCCUCCGGCAGCCCCAAGUACAAGAAAAGCGAGGAGGGCGUAAUAUGAGACGGGGAAGCUCCAACAUGAUAUUGGCAACCUCAAUACCUUCCAUGGUGAAUUGACUGUCAAAGCUCUGUUUCAUUUUUAACCCCAAAAUUCCUCAAUUUUCCUCUGAUACUUAAAAGACAAGAAAAGGGGCUGACUUGAAAAACAGAGAGUAAAAGAUAGAGGGAGAGAUUGAGUUGGUUGGAAAGAGAGUCUCGCUCACCCUCAGCAUAUAAAGGAACCCAUGGCGAGAGCAACGGGUUAUUGACACGUUUCAGACAAUGAAGAGGAUUGAGAACGAACGGUUUUAGGGUUUAUGGAUUUAUCUGAUGGGUUGUACGCGCGAGUUUAAUAUGGGUUUUUAGUUCCUAUAAUUAGUUUAGUUAAAGGAGUAUUAGGAGAGUUAAGUUUAGAAACUAGUCCACGCCCUUUCCAUGUGCGUGAUUCUGAAACGCCCACACCUGUAGUUAUUGGUACGUUUGGAGACUGGGUGGUACAAGAAUCUCGCGCACUUUUUUCCCUUAUUUUUCUCUACAAUUAAGGGGAAGUAGAGACUGGGUGGUACAAGCAUCUCGCCCACUAGCCUAAUUACAUUCUUGUCAAAUUGCUACUUCAGGAAGAACAUAAUAUCCAUAUUUUAUGUCAUAAAUUGAGCAGGUGCAAGUUUUUUAGCAAAAUAAAGACACCCUAAAACCAAAGUUAAAUUCUUGCUCACCAAGUAAACCUGAAUCAAUCAUUCAAAGAUACUCAAAAAGCAUUUAUUAAGAAUAUCAAUACCAAAUCAAAUAAUUUCUCUUCUCCAUAUCAGCUUCCUUCUAAUUUACAAUUUUCCAUACACCCUACGUUAAUGCCGCCGUAAAAAAAGAGGAUAAAAAUCCGACACAAAACUCAUGUUAAAGCGCACCCAGCUUUCUAAACACCUUUCAAAUUCUUUGCUCUGCAAAUUUGCUUCCUUUUAAACCUUGCUGCUGCUGCUGCUCCGCUUUUGCUUACUAUGUCCACAUCCAUGAAUGCUUCUUCUGCCGAAACGUUGAGGUCUGGGAUACCCUUUGAUGAUGGCAACAUUGACAUCAUUUCAACCAUCCGAUCCAUCGUCAACGGUUGGUGAUGAACCCUGCUGGGAAUUCCUUGUUGAUGUUGACCAACACUAAUUUGGGUUGAUUCUGGUGUGAGAACACACUGAUUUAACUGUUAAAACCAAAAAGAAAAUAAUUUUAAAAAAAAUGUGAUAAACUUGAAAAACAACACGACCCCACUUCAUCAAAGAAAGCAAACAGAAAUAAAUAAAUUAAUUAAAAACCUUUUGUUUCUUGGAUUUCAACUCCAAAUUCUCAGCUAGUUGUUGAUCAAGCAAUUUCCUUUUAAUCUCUAUAUCUUGUUUGAAUUCCGAGAAAUCAAGGAUUUUAGUAAAACAUUGAAUCGAAGAACAGGUUAAAAAAAUGAAGAUAAUGCGGUGAUAUUCAAGAAAACGAGUAAAAAUAAAUAAACUCACCCUUUUGAGUAAUUCAUUGCGAUGGGUAAAAUCUUCCACCAUCUCUAAAAGUUGUUCUUUUUUCUGUUUUAUUAAGAAAACAAAAACCCAGAACGGAGAUGGAUCAGUAAACAGAGCACACGUGUAACGACAAUGAACUCUAAAAAGAAAGAAAAGUGAUUGAAAGUGAUGAUGACCAUAAACGAAGAUAAAACAACGUACCCUUUUGAGAAUAUUAACCGAAGAAGCUUUUUUCUUGGGAGGCAGAGGCAGAGGCUUCUCAUCUGCUUCACUGGGACAAAAAGACAGGGGUGUAUCAGGGCUUGAAGAUAUGAUAUUUUCGACGGGUCCCACGACUGCCGAAGAAGGAAGGAGCGGCGGCGAAGAUGUGGAAACAGAUCUCUUCCUCCGGCAGCCCCAAGUACAAGAAGAGCGAGUAGGGCGUAAUAUGAGACGGGGAAGCUCCAACAGGAUAUUGGCGACCUCAAUAUCUUCCAUGGUGAAAACACUGUCAAAGCUCUGUGUCAAGUUCCACAAUUUUGCUCUGAUACUUAAAAAGAGCAAGAAAGUGGGGAUUUGAAUUGAAAGGCGGUCUUAAUUGAAAGAAUUGGAAAACAGAGAGCAAAAGAUAAAGAGCGAGAGAUGAAGAGAUUGAGUUGCUUGGAAAGAGGGUCUCUCUCGCUCUCGCACGCUCUCGCACAUAAAGGAAUCCAUGGCGAGAGCCUUGAGUUAAUGACACGUGUCAUAAAUGAAGAGGGUGUUGAUGAUGGUUUUAGGGUUUAUGGCCCUAUUUCCUUUUGGCACUUAAUGGGCUUUUUUGAGUUUACUAUAGAUUGACUUCUAGAGUCAAUUCCAGUGCCUUAGAUUCUAAUAUAUCCUAAUUAUAUCUUUAAACUAUCAUUAUUAUUAUUAUUAUUAAAAUUAUUAAUUUAAAUGUUAAUUAUACGUGAUGUCUUAUAUAAAAUAAUUUAAAGAAAAAAUUUGUUACAAUGUAACUCCUAAAACCAAAAAUAAAAUAAAACUAGAGAAAAGGAAAAUAGUAAUACUUUUUGUAAAAAUUUUGAAUAUUUUAAAAAUUAAGACUUUUACAACACCUAUUUUUAAAACUUCCAUUAUAAAUUUUCCUUUCUAAUUAUGUCACAUGAGAUAUGAUAUCUAAUUUAACAGUUAAAUUAAUGAUUUUAAUAACAUAAUAACCUUAAUAAUAUAACAUCAAUAAUUUAAAAAUAUAAUUAGAAUAAUUUAAAGUUUAAAGAUUAAUUUAAAGCGAGAGAUGAUUAUUUAUAUGAAAAUUAAAUUUUAAUUAAUAUUAAAUUAAAAACUAACAAGGACUAACAAAAACACAU